UUUUUCUUUUGUUGGUAUGUGAAACUAGGUGCUAUAUAUUUAGCAACAAUGUAAUAGCAUAGUCAGCAUACCAAGGAGUGUUAUGAGAAACAUUUAUUGCAGCUAGUUGUUCAUCAGGAAAGCUAUCAUCAAUAGGUAGUGGGUUAUCAAGAAUAUUUUCUAACCUAGACAAGUUAUCAGCUACGGGGUUUUCAGCUCCUUUUCUACCAGUGAUAAGUAAAUCAAAUUCUUGUAGCAAAAGAACCCACCUAAUGAGUCUAGGUUUAGCAUCUUUCCUUUCCAUAAGAUAUUUUAGAGCAGCAUGAUUAGUGUGAACAAUUACUUUGGAAUCAACAAUGUAAGAUCUGAAUUUGUCACAAGCAAACCCGACUGCUAAAAAUUCUUUUUCAGUAGUAGCAUAAUUUCUUUGGGCAUUGUCUAGAGUUUUGCUAGCAUAAUGAAUAACAUUUAAUUUCUUAUCAACUCUUUGUCCUAGAACAGCACCAACAGCAUAAUCACUAGCAUCACACAUAAUUUCAAAAGGCAAGUUCCAAUUAGGUGGUUGAACAAUAGGUGUAGAAGUUAAGGCUUUCUUAAGUGUUUCAAAGGCUUCUACACAAUCAUCAUCAAAAACAAAUGGAACAUCCUUUUGUAAAAUAUUUGUAAGAGGCCUAGAAAUUUUAGAGAAGUCUUUAACAAACCUCCUAUAGAAACCAACAUGACCAAGGAAACUACGAAUACCUUUAAUAUCUUUAGGACAUGGCAUUUUCUCAAUUGCAUCAACUUUAGCUUUAUCCACCUCAAUACCUCGUUCAGAAAUUUUAUGCCCCAAGACAAUACCUUCAUUGACCAUAAAGUGGCACUUCUCCCAAUUCAAAACAAUAUUAGUUUGCUCACAUCUCUGCAAAACUCGAUCAAGUUUGCUUAAGCAAUCAUCAAAAGAAGUUCCAUAAAUAGAAAAAUCAUCCAUGAAAACAUCAACAAUCUUUUCAAAAAAAUCAGAGAAUAUAGCAGUCGUACAUAUUUGAAAGGUAGCACGUGCAUUGCAUAAACCAAAAGGCAUAUGUCUAUAAGCAUAAGUUCCAAAAGGGCAAGUAAAGGUGGGUUUCUCUUGAUCAGGUUGUGAAACGGGUAUUUGAGAAAAACCGGAAUAUCCAUCAAGAAAACAAAAUCGUGUGUGCUUAGAUAGUCUUUCUAGCAUUUGAUCAAUAAAAGGCAGAGGGUAAUAAUCUUUUCUAGUUGCUUUAUUUAUUUUUCUGAAAUCAAUUACCAUUCCAUAGCCAGUGACAAUUCUUUGUGGAAUAAGUUCAUGUUUAUCAUUAGGAACAACAGUAAUAUCUCCCUUCUUAGGGACACAAUGAACGGGACUUACCUAUCUACUAUCAGCUAUGGGAUAGAUUAUACCUGCUUCCAGAAGCUUUAAUAUUUCAGUUCUUACCACUUCUUUCAUCUUAGGAUUCAAACGUCAUUGGUGAUCAACAACGGGUUUAGCAUCAGGUUCCAUAUUAAUCUUGUGCUGACAGAGAGUGGGACUAAUGCCCUUAAGAUCAUCAAGAGUAUAUCCAAUAGCAGCUCGGUGCUUCUUCAGAAUUUUCAAUAAUCUUUCUUCUUCACGUUCUGAAAGGUUAGCACUAAUAAUAACAAGAUAUAUAUUUUUCUCAUCAAGAUAAGCAUAUUUCAAAGUGUCGGGCAAUUGUUUUAAUUCAACACAAGAUCACCUUUAGGUGGAGCAGGACCUCCUAGAGUUUCAAUAGGCAAAUUGUGUUUGAGCAGAGGUUGUUGUUCAAAGAAUAUUUUAUCUAUUUCAUUUCUUUCACGCAAGUGCAUAUCAUUUUCAUGGUCGAGCAAAUAUUGUUCUAGUGGAUCAGUAGGAGGCAUGGAAAUAGAAGCAAGACCAAUUAUUUCAUCCUUACUAGGUAAUUCUUUAUCACGGGGUUGUCUACUAAACUUAGAGAAAUUAAUUCAUGAGACUCAUCACCAAAGCUAACACUGACAGUUUGUUUAUGACAAUCUAUAGUAGCAUUGACAGUGUUCAAGAAAGGUCUAGCAAAGAUAAUGGGACAAAAGUCAUCUUGUGGGGAACCAAGAACUAGAAAAUCAGUAGGAUAUUUAUUUUCCCACACAAGAAUUCAACAUCUCUAACAAUCCCCAGUGGUCUGAUGGUGUCUCUAUUAGCAAGUUUAAUAGUAACAUAUAUGUGUUCUAUUUCAGCGGGUGCUAUAUCAUUCAUAAUUUCUUGGUAUAAGGUAAAAGGAAUAACACUCACACUAGCACCUAAAUCACAUAGGCCAUGAUAACAAUGAUCUCCUAUUUUAACUGAGACAACAGGCAUGCCAACAACAGGCCUAUGUUUAUCUUUUUCAUCGGGCUUAGCAAUUCUAGCAGCUUCAUCACAGAAGUAAAUAACAUGCCCAUCAAUAUUUUCUACCAAGAGAUCUUUAACCAUAGCAACACUAGGUUCUACUUUGAUUUGUUCUAAGGGUCUAGGUGCUUUAAUAUUACUUUUGUGAACCAUAGUUGAAACCUUAGCAUGUUCCUUUAUCCUAACAGGGAAAGGUGGUUUUUCAAUAUAAGCAGUAGGCACAACUAGGUCAACAUUGUAAAUGAUAGUUUCAUCUUUAGCUAUUACCAGUUCUUUAAUUUCUUCUUUAAUAGGGGGUGAUAUUUAAACCACUUCUCCUUAGGGAGAUCAACAUGAGUAGCAAAUGAUUCACAAAAAGAGGCUACUAUCUCAGAGUCAAGUCCAUAUUUAGUGCUAAACUUGUGAAAAGCAUCGGUGUUCAUAAAAGAUUUAACACAAUCAAACUCAAGAUUAAUACCUGACUCUUUACCUUCAUCGAGAUCCCAAUCUUUAGAGUUGCGUUUAGUUCUUUCUAAAAGAUCCCACCUGAAUUCAAUAGUCUUCUAUCAGCGAUGAUAUUGGAUCUUCUGCAUAAGGAUUAGCUAGCAGGUGUCCAUGCUUUUCCCUUCAUAGAUAAAGGAAAGCCUUCUUCUUAGCUUCAUCUCCGGGCAAACCUGCAAGCUUAAAUAAUCCACAAAUUUCAUCCACAUAGAUCAAGUGCAUAUCAGGAUGAUCGGUUCCAUUUCCUGCAUAAGGAUUAGCUAGCACUUGUUCUAUCAUACCCAAAGGAAUUUCAUGACCAAUAUUUUCAGUAGGUGCAGUAGGUUGAGGGGCAACUAAUUGUGCUUCCGCUUGAGGUGAAUAUACCCCGAACAAACCCCUCAAAGGAUUGUUUUCCAUAGUAGCAAGUGACAAUAAAUUUCAGCACAUAGUAUAAAUUUUUGCUUACCAAUUUCCACUUACCAAGAGCGCUUCACUCCCCGGCAACGACGCCAGAAAAGAGUCUUGAUGACCCACAACUAUAGGGGAUCAAUCGUAGUCCUUUAGAUAAUUAAGAGUGUCGAACCCAAUGAGGAGCAGAAGGAAAUGACAAGUGGUUUUCAGCAAGGUAUUUUCUGCAAGCAUUGAAAUAUUCGGUAAUAGGUAGUUUGAUAGCAAGAUAAUUUGUAACGAACAAGUAAAGGUAAUGGUAAAUAAAGUGAAGCAAGGUAGCCCAAUCCUUUUUGUGGCAAAGGACAGGACAAAACGGUCUCUUAUAAUAAGCAAAGCAUUCUUGAGGGUACACAGGAAUUUCAUCUAGUCACUUUCAUCAUGUUGGUUUGAUUCGUGUUCGCUACUUUGAUAAUUUGAUAUGUGGGUGGACCGGUGCUUGGGUGAUGUUCUUACUUGAACAAACCUCCCACUUAUGAUUAACCCCCUCACAAGCAUCAGCAACUACGAGAAAAUUAUUAAGAUAAAAUCUAACCAUAGCAAUAAACAUUUGGAUCCAAAUCGGUCCCUUACGAAGUAGCGCAUAAACUAGGGUUUAAGCUUCUGUCACUCUAGCAACCCAUCAUAUAAUAACUACUCCACAAUGCAUUCCCUUAGGACCAAAAAUGGUGAAGUACCAUGUAGUCAAGGUUCACAUGACACCACUAAGGGAAUCACAACAUACAUACCAUCAAAAUAUCGGAAACAUAUCAAGUUUACAUCAUUACUUGCAACAUGACUUCUCCCAUGACCUCAAGAACAAAAGUAAAUGCUCACAAAUGAUAAUCAUGCUCAAGAUCAGAGGGAUAUUAAAUAGCAUAAUGGAUCUGAACAUAUAAUCUUUCACCAAAUAAACCAUAUAGUAAUCAACUACAAGAUGUAACCAACACUACUAGUCACCCACAUGUAACAAUCUGAGGUUCCGGUACAAAGAUUGAACACAAGAGAUGAACUAGGGUUUGAGAGGAGAUGUUGUUGUUGAAGAUGUUGACGGAGAUUAGCCUCCCAAAGAUGAGAGGGUUGUUGGUGAUGACGAUGGCUUUGAUUUCCCCCUCCGGGAGGGAAGUUCCCUCGGCAGAAUCGCUCCGUCGGAGGGCAAAAGUGCUCUUGCCCAAGUUCCGUCCCGAAAGUCCUCUCCUUAUUUCAAAAUGACCUAUAUACCAGAAGAUGGGCACCGGAGGUGGGCUGGGCUGAGCACAACCCACCAGGGCGCGCUUGGGGGGGCCUGGUGCGCCCUGGUGUCUUGUGCUCGCUAGGUGGGGCCCCUCCGGUAGUUAUUUGCUCCAUUAUUUUUUUUUAUUCCAAAAUAAUUCUCUGUAAAUUUUCAGCUCAUUUGGAGAUGUGUAGAAUAGGUAACUCUAACGUAGCUUUUUUAGGUCCAGAAUUCCAGCUGCCGGCAUUCUCCCUCUUUGUGUAAAGCUUGCAUAUUAUGAGAGAAAAGGCAUUAGAAUUACUCCAUAAAGUGUUAUUAUGCAUAAAAACAUUAUAAAUAAUAGUAGGAAAUCAUGAUGCAAAAUGGACGUAUCACGAUGCAAAGUGGGUAGGGAUUGUCAUGCAAUGGCUGCACUAGAGCUAUAAGUGUAUGAAAGCUCAAAAGAAAACUAAGUGGGUGUGCAUCCAACUUGCUUGCUCAUGAAGACCUAGGGCAAUUUGAUGAAGCCCAUCAUUGGAAUAUACAAGGCAAGUUCUAUAAUGAAAAAAAAUCUAGUAUAUGAAAGUGAUAAAAUAGGAGACUCUCUAUCAUGAAGAAAUGGUUCUACUUUGUAUCACAAGUGUGGUAAAAGGAUAGUAACAUUGUCCCCUCUCUCUUUAUCUCUCUUUUUUUUCUUUUUUUCUUUUCUCCUUCUUUUUUUUCUUUUUGGGCUCUUUGGCCUCCCUUUUUUAUUUAAGUCCGGAGUCUCAUCCCGACUUGUGGGGGAAUCAUAGUCUCCAUCAUUCUUUCCUCACAUGGGACAAUGCUCUAAUCAUGAUUAUCAUCACACUUUUAGUUACUUACAACUCAAGAAUUACAACUCGGUACUAGAACAAAGAUAUGACUCUAUAUGAAUGCCUCCGGCGGUGUACCGUGAUGUGCAAUGAUCUAGCGUGACAUGUAUAAAAAAUAUGAACGAUGGCCAAGCCACAAAUACUAUGCCAACUACAUGAUCAUGUGAAGCAAUAUGACAAUGAUGGUAUGUGUCAUAUAAACGGAACCGUGGAAGUUGCAUGGCAAUAUAUCUCGGAAUGGCUAUGAAAAUGUCAUAAUAGGUAGGUAUGGUGGCUGUUUUGAGGAAGGGUAUAUGGUGGGUUUAAUGCAUCGGCGAAAGUUGUGCGGUACUAGAGAGGCUAGCAAUGGUGGAAGGGUGAGAGUGCGUAUAAUCAUGGACUCAACAUUAGUCAUAAAGAACUCACAUACUUAUUGCAAAAAUUUAUUAGCCAUCGAAGCAAAGUACUAAUACGCAUGCUCCUAGGGGGAUAGAUUGGUAGGAAACGACCAUCGCUCGUCCCCGACCGCCACUCAUAAGAAAGACAAUAAAAAAUAAAUCAUGCUCUAACUUCAUCGCAUAACGAUAGACCAUACAUGCAUGCUUCGGGAAUCAAAAACCUUAACACAAGUAUUUCUACUAACCCACAAUUACCUACUAGCAUGACUCUAAUAUCACCAUCUUGUUGGGGUACGUAAUAUUUCAAAAAAAUUCCUACGAUCACGCAAGAUCUAUCUAGGAGAAGCAUAGCAACGAGCGGGGAGAGUGUGUCCAUGUACCCUAUUAGACCGAAAGCGGAAGCGUUUAGUAACGCGGUUGAUGUAGUCGAACGUCUUCGCGAUCCAACCGAUCCAAGCACCGAACGUACGACACCUCCGCGUUCAGCACACGUUCAGCUUGAUGACGUCCCUCGAGCUCUUGAUCCAGUUGAGGACGAGGAAGAGUUUCAUCAACACGACGGCGUGGCGACGGUGAUGAUGAAGUUACCGAUGCAGGGCUUCGCCUAAGCACUACGACGAUAUGAUCGAGGUGUGUUACUGUAGAGGGGGGCACCGCACACGGCUAAGAGAAGACUUAGUGUGUCUUUGGGGUGCCCCCUCCCACGUAUAUAAAGGAGGGGGAAGAGGAGGCCGGCCCUAGGGGGGCGCGCCAAGGGGGGGAAUCCUUCUUGGACUCCCGGUCCAAGUAGGAUUAGCCCCCCCUUUCCUAUUCCAACUAGGAGAAGGAGGGGAGGGGAAAGAGGGGAGAAGGAAGGAGGGGGGCGCCGCCCCCUCCUAGUCCAAUUCGGACCAGCCCAUGGGGGGCGUGCGGCUACUUGAGGCCCUUCUCUCCUUUCCCCUAAAGCCCAUUAAGGCCCAUUAUUCUCCUGGGGGGUUCCGGUAACCUCCCGGUACUCCGGAAAAUACCCGAAACACUUCGGAACCAUUCCGGUGUCCGAAUGUAACCUUCCAAUAUAUCGAUCUUUACCUCUUGACCAUUUCGAGACUCCUCGUCAUGUCCCUGAUCUCAUCCAGGACUCUGAACAAACUUCGGUCAUCAAAUCACAUAACUCAUAAUACAAAUCGUCAUCGAAUGUUAAGCGUGCGGACCCUACGGGUUCGAGAACUAUGUAGACAUGAACGAGACACAUCUCCGGUAAAUAACCAAUAGCGGAACCUGGAUGCUCAUAUUGUCUCCUACAUAUUCUACGAAGAUCUUUAUCGGUCAAACCGCAUAACAACAUACGUUGUUCCCUUUGUCAUCGGUAUGUUACUCGCCCGAGAUUCGAUCACCGGUAUCAUCAUACCUAGUUCAAUAUCGUUACCGGCAAGUCUCUUUACUCGUUUCGUAAUGCAUCAUCCCGCAACUAAAUCAUUAGUCACAUUGCUUGCAAGGCUUAUAGUGAUGUGCAUUACCGAGAGGGCCCAGAGAUACCUCUCCGAAACACGGAGUGACAAAUCCUAAUCUUGAUCUAUGCCAACUCAACAAACACCAUCGGAGACACCUGUAGAGCAUCUUUAUAAUCACCCAGUUACGUUGUGACGUUUGAUACCACACAAGGUGUUCCUCCGGUAUUCGGGAGUUGCAUAAUCUCAUAGUCAGAGGAACAUGUAUAAGUCAUGAUGAAAGCAAUAGCAAUAAAACUAAACGAUCAUUGUGCUAAGCUAACGGAUGGGUCUUGUCCAUCACAUCAUUCUCUAAUGAUGUGAUCCUAUUCAUCAAAUGACAACACAUGUCUAUGGUCAAGAAACUUAACCAUCUUUGAUUAACGAGCUAGUCUAGUAGAGGCAUACUAGGGACACUCUGUUUGUCUAUGUAUUCACACAUGUACUAAGUUUCCGGUUAAUACAAUUCUAGCAUGAAUAAUAAACAUUUAUCAUGAUAUAAGGAAAUAUAAAUAACAACUUUAUUAUUGCCUCUUGAGGGAGUCCUGGACUAAGGGGUCCUCGGGCGUCCGGCCUGUUAUCCAUGGGCCGGAUUGAUGGGCUGUGAAGACACGAAGACCGAAGAUUAUACCCGUGUCCGGAUUGGACUCUCCUUGGCGUGGAAGGCAAGCUAGGCGACCGACUAUGAAGAUUCCCUCUUAUGUAACCGACCUCGUGUAACCCAAGAUCUCUCCGGUGUCUAUAUAAACCGGAGAGCAUAGUCCGGAUAGGACAGAUUCAUUACCAUAUACUCAUAGGCUAGACUUCUAGGGUUUAGCCAUUACGAUCUCGUGGUAGAUCAACUCUUGUAAUACUCAUAUUCAUCAACAUAAAUCAAGCAGGAAGUAGGGUAUUACCUCCAUAGAGAGGGCCCGAACCUAGGUAAACAUCAUGUCCCCCGUCUCCUGUUACCAUCGAUCCUAGACGCACAGUUCGGGACCCCCUACCCGAGAUCCGCCGGUUUUGACACCGACAUUGGUGCUUUCAUUGAGAGUUCCUUUAUGCCGUCGCUAAGAGGGUUGACGGCUCGCCUUGUUAUCAAGGAUAAUAUCAUCUCCGGAGGAGCCCUGGCCCCAAGUCAGACCCUCCGUCUCGGCGGCUUCGUCAUGACCGCCGGCUCGGCCCUUAAGCUGACGAUGACCUCUCAAGUCAUCAAAAAUCACCUCCGCAUUGAUCCCGAAUACUCCAUCUGCAUGGAUCCAGUGGAGUUGUCGUCGUUGAACGAACUCCUGGAUCGCAUGGCCGCCUUGGGGUCGCUACAGACUACGAUCGGGUCGGGCUUAAACCCGACCAGAGAGAAAUUAAAACUCCACCGAUCACCCAUCAGAUAGCGGUAGUCGAGGAGCGGAGCAACUCUUCCACUAUAUUGAAGACGAACUAUGUUCGGAUCGCCGAUCUUGAAGAGCCGGAUACUGUCCGGAAGAAGGUCAUGUUUCUUCCUCCGAACAUAAAGUCGGAUGACGAGCCUAAAAAAUCAGUCGAUAUCCCGGAGCCCGAACUAUCCAGCCCGGUAGACCUCCAAACUCCGGAUCCAAAACCAGGUCAGGGUUCGGAUUCAAUUCCACCCGCCCACCCGGACAUAGAUACUCUCAGAAGCAUCAAACAACAUCCUCAGGAAACGGUCCACCACUUCUGGGGCAGAUUCCUCCUUGUCAAAAACAAGGUGAAAGGCUGCCGCGACGAAGACGUGAUAGCAGCAUUCUGCAACAACUGCGCGGACUAAGGUAUCCUUAACGCCAUCAAUCGUCGCCGCAUACUAAAAUUCGCUGACCUAGCAACCAUUGUACAAAAGUACAGCACGAUGGAAAGCGCCUGGAAAACUCAGGCAGCUGGCUGGGAACAAUCCCGACUCCCCUUACAGGCGAAAAGGACGCGCCCCCGUGGCACGCCCAGAGGAACAGUCAAAAAACACAAACCUAUUGCUGUGCACGGCACCGUUCUGGAGGGAUGGCUCAAUGGCCCGUGCAAAAUACACACGGCGCCGGAUACCAUGGCAACCCACAGCCUUAGAGCAUGUUGGAUACUCCGGAAGGUAGCCAAGAGCGGCAAGGAUAUCCUUACCAAAGAUACCCCAGAACAACACCCUCUAGCAGACGACGACAAUAAAGUACUGGCAGUCUUCGAGACAUUUGCUUCAAACAACAAGCGUAAAAGAGCCCUGCGGGAUCUCGGCGAAGUUUUUCAGGUCGCUGCAGUUGACCCAUGGAAUGACACGGCCAUAACCUUCAACGCCAGUGACGAACCUCAAUACAGAACAGUCCGAGCACCAGCUGCCCUAGUCCUCAGUCCCAUCGUGGAUGGCUUUCGACUUACAAAAGUCCUCAUGGACGGCGGCAGCGGACUAAACCUCAUUUACGAGGAUACGCUCCACAAGAUGGAAAUAGAUAGGAGUCGCAUCGAGAAAAGCAGCACAACCUUUCGAGGUAUCAUUCCCAGCCGGGAAGCUCGGUGCGCAGGAAAAAUUACACUUGAUGUGGUGUUCGGCACGCCGGAGAACUAUCUGUCCGAAGAAAUAACUUUCCAGGUGGCCCCUUUCAACAGUGCAUACCACGCCCUGUUAGGGCGAGAGGCCUUCACGCGCUUUCAAGCCAUACCUCAUUAUGGGUAUAUGAAGAAAAAAAUGCCAGGGCCUAUUGGAAUAAUCACCCUCGUCAGCGAUCCAGACAUAGCCCUCCGCGCCGAGAAUAAAACCGCAUCCUUGGCCCUUGAGUCAUUGUCUGAGGCCCUUGCGGCCGAAGAACUAAGCGCACUAUGCUCCACCGUGGAUAAGGACGAUGUGAUCCUGGACAAACGACCCAAAUCCACUUCCUUCAAGCCAGCAGAAGAAAUAGUCAAAUUUCAUGUCCAUCCAACAGACCCGAAGAAGACAGCGUCUAUCGGAGCACAGCUCAGCCCCGCAGUCGACGCCGCACUACGAGACUUCCUGCGCGAAAACUGGGAUAUAUUCGCCUGGCAUCCUUCCGAUAUGCCAGGAAUCCCGCGCGAGUUGGCCAAACAUAGCCUCAACAUAUUAAAGGGAUAUAAGCCGGUCAAGCAAGCUCCGUGGCGCUUUUCCGAACCCAAACGACAAGCUAUGGGGGAGGAGCUAGCCAAACUCAUCGAGGCCGGAUUCAUCAAAGACAUUAAACAUCCGGACUGGCUGGCAAACUUGGUAAUAGUACCAAAGAAGGACAAAUCCUGGCGCCUAUGCGUCGAUUUCAAAGAUCUUAACAAGGCCUGCCCUAAGGAUCCCUUCCCUCUUCCUCGCAUUGAUCAAAUCAUUGAUGCCACCGCAGGUCAUGACUUGCUAUGUUUCCUUGAUGCAUAUUCCAGAUACCAUCAAAUCAAAAUGAAGGAGUCCGACCGAGCCGCAACAGCAUUCAUUACACCAUACGGGCCGUUUUAUUUCAACACCAUGCCUUUCGGGCUCAAGAACGCCGGCGCCACCUAAUAGCGCAUGAUCCAAACAUGCCUCGAGAAACAGAUCAGCAAAACAGUGGAGGCCUACGUGGACGACGUCGUCAUCAAAACCAGACACGUUGAAACACUAAUAGACGACUUGCCUCUCACAUUCGACAACCUCCGCACAUACGACAUCAAGCUUAACCCGGAAAAGUGCGUCUUCGGCGUCCUCGCCGGUAAACUAUUGGGCUUCAUCGUUUCCAGUAGAGGAAUUGAAGCAAAUCCAGCCAAAAUCCGAGCUCUAUCACAACUGGCCACACCAACCGAACUCAAGCAGGUCCAAAAACUUGCUGGGUGCAUGGCAGCUUUAAGCCGCUUCAUCUCCAGGUUGGGAGAAAGGCGCUGCCGCUCUAUCGCCUUCUACGGCGCACCGACAACUUCGAGUGGACAGACGCGGCGACGGCCGGACUGGAAGAAAUAAAAGACCUUCUGGUGAGCAACCCAAUCCUGGCCGCGCCAAACACCGGCGAGCCAGUGCUCUUAUACAUAUCAGCAACACACCAGGUGGUGAGCGCCGUACUCGUCGUCCAACGAGAACAGGACGGGCACAAAUUCCCGCUCCAGAAGCCGGUAUACUACGUAUCCACCGUCCUCACACCAUGCAAAUCUCGGUACCCUCAUUAUCAAAAAAUAGCAUAUGUAGUCUUCAUGGCACCCCAAAAAUUGCGACACUACUUUUAGGAGUGCUCUAUCACAGUGGCCUCCGAAGUGCCCCUCAAUGAUAUAAUUAACAACCGGGAUGCAACGGGCCGGAUUGCCAAAUGGGCCAUUGAGCUCCUGCCAUUCGACAUCACGUACAAACCACGUAGAGCCAUCAAAUCCCAGGUACUGGCUGACUUUGUCGCCGAAUGGACAGAAGCCGAACUCCCUAAAGAGUACGGCGUGUAUUCCAACUGGGUGAUGCAUUUUGACGGCUCCAAGAUGUUGGCAGGGCUAGGGGCGGGCGUCGUAUUAACGUCCCCCACAGGAGACAUCGUCCAGUACGUACUCCAAAUAUUAUACACAGACUCCAACAACGCAGCCGAAUAUGAGACCUUGCUACAUGGCCUCCAGAUGGCCGUAUCAAUGGGCAUACAACGCCUGGAGGUGCGCGGGGACUCAAACCUCGCAAUAUCCCAAAUCAAUGGAGACUUUGAUGCCAAAGAUCCAAAGAUGGCAGCUUACCGCAAUGUCGUUUUGAAGAUGUCGGCUCGGUUCGAGGGACUCGAAUUUCAUCACAUCGCCCGUGAAAGUAACCAGGCGGCAGACGUCCUUGCUCGCAUUGGCGCUAAGCACGACCCCGUCCCACCUAACAUCUUCCUCGAAAGGCUCUUUAAGCCAUCCGUGGUAUGGCAAGGGGGAGAUAGCAACGACAGUCCCGUUCCGAACACAAACACAAAUAACGAACAUACCGAUAUCAUCGGAGGCUCAACCACCGAAGUAACACCAUCGGCCCACCUCAUCAUGGCAGUAAUUGCCCCGUGGACCGAACCAUUCUUGGCCUACUUUAAUAGGAAGGAGCUCCUAGAAGAUCAGAACGAGGCUCGCCGCAUAGUCCGGCGUUCGAAGGCCUAUAAAGUUCACGAAUGAGAGCUCUACAAGAAAAGCACUACCAGAGUCCUUCAAAGGUGUAUCUCCGAGGAGGAGGGGCGGCAACUCUUGGCAGAAAUUCACGCCGGUCUCGGCAGACACCAUGCCGCAGCCCGGGCACUUGUCAGCAAGGCCUUCCGUACAAGAUUUUACUGGCCCGCGGCCCGGGCAGACGCACAGGACCUCGUCCAAUGCUGUGUCGGAUGCCAACUCUUCAGCAACCAAAGCCAUAUGCCCCCAACCGCCCUACAAACAAUCCUCAUUACAUGGCCCUUUGCGGUCUGGGGCUUAGACAUGGUCGGACCCCUUAAAGGGGGAAGCCAUAAGAAAAAAUAUCUGUUGGUCAUGGUGGACAAAUUCACCAAGUGGAUAGAGGCUAGACUAGUUAAAACGGCCGAGUCCGGACCGAUGAUUGCAUUUAUAUCCGAUGUGGUACACCGUUACGGUGUACCGCACAGCAUCAUCACCGAUAAUGGUUCGAAUUUCACAGCCGAUGAGGUGAAAACCUGGUGUGCUAAUCUGGGCAUUAAGGUCGAUUACGCCUCUGUCUACCACCCGCAAACAAAUGAUCAAGUCGAGCGAGCUAAUGGUCUUAUUAUGAGCGGCAUCAAACCCAGACUAGUGCGUUCUUUGAAAGAAUCGGACAAGCAUUGGGUCGAGGAGCUCGACUCCGUACUCUGGGGGCUGCGGACCACACCCAACCGUACUACCGGAUACACACCUUUCUUUAUGGUGUACGGUGCAGAGGCUGUAUUGCCCUGCGAUAUUAUAGACUCACCUCGAGUGCGUAUGUACGAGGAGAAAGAGGCCGAGUUGGAUCGGCAGGACAGCCUAGAUGCCCUGGAGGAGGAGUGUGACAUCGCCAAAGCCCGUUCAGCAUUUUAUCAACAGCAGGCUCGAAGAUAUCAAAGCAGAGAAGUACGGGCCAAGACUUACAACGUUGGCGAACUCGUUCUACGCUUGGCGGAGAAGGAAAAGGACAAACUCAAGCCCAAAUGGGAGGGUCCCUUCAUCAUUGACGAAGUUCUUACCGGUGGAGCAUACCGUCUUCGUGACGCAUCAGACAAUCGCCUAGAGCCGAACCCAUGGAAUGCGGCCAGACUCCGAAGGUUCUAUGCCUAGCGCCGAACCCUUUGUUAGUCUCCUCCUCCCUUACAGUUUCCAUAAUUCUUUCCCCCUUUUACACAUUUUUUCGCUUUAAAGCUAUCAUUUGGCUUGACCGAACACUGCGGACGUACACAUCUUUACAUAUGUACGCCCGUUAUACCUGGGGGCUUCUCUAACAAAAGCUUGUUAACAUUAUUUUCCGAGCAUCAAGCUCAUCACACAUGCACAUUUUCCCGCAUGUCUUUUCUUCGCCAUUAUAUGAAUCGAUAAGACUUAAGUUUUGGCCAAGCUGGGUUGCCUGGCUCCUGUGCUUACCCCUACAUUCCCGAUUGUUCGGCUAGGUGAUAAAGGGAGCACCUCUGCGAUUGUUACUGCCGGGUCAUCCAGAUGUGUACCUCAGACUGGGUGAAGCCAAAAGCUAGCGUUCUUAAGGGAGUAUUCGGUCAGUGGAUGAAAAGUCUCUUUUGCACUCACUCUAUUGUGAACCCCCAGAAGCUAUACAUACUGUGAUUUUCACAUCACAAUUCGGACAUGUCUACUAAUGCAUGCACACCCAGGGAAAGGAACCCUUAACGGAACUAUUCUCUCUGGAAGAUUUUUCUUACGAAUCAAAUGUAAUAUAACAUAACUAGCAGAAUACAACUUGUCUGUUCAAGCAAUUAUGACCCCUACGCCUAGUUUUCCAGGCAUGCCCCGGCCUAUUCAGCCGUGAGGGUAUCCGGAAACACUCCAUACCCCUAAGUCCGGAGGUUGAAGCGAAAAGGUCUGCCAUGACAAAUGAUAUACAAUUCAGCUAGAAUUCCACACAGUGAGGAAAGUACAUAGUCACUUGGACUCAAACACUUCCUCCUCUAUACCGUCCAACAGGCGAUCUAACUUACAAUCCUGUUGGGAAUAUUUGGCGGCCACCUCUACUUGGUCAUACACUAAACUAACGGGAAUUUCUUCCCCAUUCGGCCCUACCGGUCCGACACGCGCCAUGUGAUUAGGAUCAAGCUUGGUAUACCGAGUCUUCACCAUGGCCCAAGCCUCUCGCGCACCCUCUCGACAGGCCGAUAUCUUCCAUAGCCGGAUACGCCGCCGCGCUCCUUUGAACUGCUCUACAAGCUCCUCCAUACUUCCUAGAGGAGAGGCGGAUGGCCAUAGAGCCUUGGCAACACUCCGCAUCGCCAGCCUCGCCUGUUCGUGCACCUGUGACAGCUUACACAGCAGAUCACUUGAUGAUCCGGACACCUCCUCUUCAGGACGGCCCGUCAAUAUACCUGCAAGUAUGGCUAUAUUAGUUUCAUUGCUCUCCGAACCACUAAAAAUAAACAAGUUCAGAAACAUACUGAACAUGCCGCCCCGCAGUUUCUUGUUCUCCUUUACGGAGUCGGAUAGCUGGGCCCGCACAUCCUUCAAUUCUUCACCCAACUUAGUGUUGGAGUCCUGCAGCUUGUUUUUCUCGUCCCUGACAUGGGUCAGCACACGUUCGCCUGCGGCAUGUUGCCUCUUCGCCUCUUUUUCUCCCUCUUGGGCGAUCUUCAACUCCUUAAAUUGAUCAGGCGACCCUAUUAUGCGAUCAAUGGCAGUAUUAAGCACAGUUGGUAUACAUUCACUAUUCCUCACUAGAGGGAAAUGUUACCAGUGGACAACUUCUUCAAAUUUUCCAGUUUGGUGGUAGCAGCAUUUAAUUGCGCCCGACACUGUUCCAGCUCUUGGGCUAGCAGGUCGUUCUUCUCUGUAAGAACCUGGCAAUCAAUGGUCCUUAAAUCAGUUGUACCAACUGCUUUCAGUCCCGGGGGCUACUGGCGUAUGGUUAUCUUAUUUGGACAAAGAAAACUUACCCGCACAUCUGUUAAAUACUGCUUCGUGGCUCUACUAAGCCUGUUUCGAGCAGUUCGGAUAUACGCAUCGGCAGAGCUGAAGGCAUUGAAUGCCUCUUCCGAAAAUUCAGGGUCUUGUAAAACAGCCCUGCAGCGCCGAUGAUUCAUGGCGCUCUCCACUUCCGAGUUGGUAACGGACAUAUUCUCCGAACCCUCGGCCGAAGGACAGUCCGGCACUGUUCCUAUGUUGGCUCCCGCCUUUCCAACGGGGUCUAAAUCUCGGGCGCGGGGAGUACGGCUGGCCGGACUCUCGGAUUUAGCCCGGUGAACCUUUUUCCUGGUGUCAAACAAGCAUACAAGUUACAGUUGGAUGUGACUGUUGAAGUAUACCUUUAAAUCCUUACCUCUUUGGCGAGGGACCGGUCGUGACUUCACCAACCUUCCUUUUAGAAGCCUUGCUCGGCGCCGUAGCCGCUCUCUUUGGAGCCGCCCCUGGAGUAGUGUAACGCGCCGAACGUCUCCCCUGUGGAGCACGAGACAGUGUGAUGGGUGAGGCGGUACGAGGAAGCUCUUUCGAGAGAAGUUUUUUCUCAACGACUUACGUGGGAAGCUGGAAGAAGACCAGGGUAAUCAGCGAUAAUGGCCACUUCCGUGCCAUCGUAGCUCGCCUGGUAAAACACCACUUCCGCGAGUACCACGGAUAUAUCCGGAUCUUCUUCAUACCCGGGAUCCAGCUCCCGGUUGUGGUCCUCAGGCUAUGGGGCGGGGCUGUAAAACCCCUCGGUGAUUCUUCGCCAAUGCUGUUAUAAACGGAUUAGAAAUUUGUCAAAGGUAAUCCGGGAAGCAAAAUGAGUAAAGCAGAAGGAUUGGGGCUUACCCAACUGGGAGGAUUAUACAUAGAAUAUCCAUCUCUGCGAUUGAUUCGAAGAAAUUCCUCUUCCUCCCCUUUGAACAGCUCGGCCAGUAUUUUGGCCAGAGCGGCGGGGGUGCCCGGACCUUUUCGACCACAGCGGGAGGCGUCGUCUUCCCCGUUGUAAUGCCACAUUGGGAGCCCUCUGUAUUGAAGCGGCUGAACCCCUCGCGUUAUGGAGGUCGCCAUCACCUCAACCAUUGUUAAUCCGGACUGAGCGAGCAUCUUUAUCUCGCCCAAGAGUUGACGAACCUCCGCACUGUCAUCCUCCUCAAGGCUCCGGGGGCGCCAACCGUGGCGUUUGUUUAGCGGAACGCUUGCAAAUUCAGGGAGACCCUUUCGAACUGGGUCGGGAAGUGCAACGUCCUCGAUGCAGAACCACUCGGAAAGCCACUCUUUAGAUGCCUUCCUUGGUGUGCCGGACGGGUAUCCGGUAUCGGCGAUGCGCCACACUUCGGCUCCGCCAACUUCAAAUAUUGACCCUUCAUGGUUACGUGGGACAAGACAAAACAAUUUUCUCCACAGUUCGAAAUGGGCUUCAACACCCAGAAAUAGCUCGCAUAAUGCAACAUAACCUGCGAUGUGCAGGAUAGAGGCGGGAGUGAAGUUAUGCAACUGAAGGCCAUAAUACUCCAGAAGCCCUCGGAGGAACAGGUGGACUGGAAAUCCGACGCCUCUUAUCAGAUAGGGGAUGAAGCACACUCGCUCCCCCCCCCGGGCAGAUUGGGGGAGUCCUCCGCCUGAGUCACAUCAUUGAAGGAAGGCAGCCCUGCUCGAACAGGGACCAGAUCCGCAGGAGGAAGAAAUCCCUGCGUUCGCAACUUUGCUAACUGACUGUGAGACACAGAGCACUUCUCCCACUCGCUUUUCUUUGGGCUGGAACGCGAGGAGGAGCUGGGAAUGCUGGCCAUGUUGGAAUGCUUUCUCCUAGCAGUCUCCGGGGAUCUUCUCGGUGUGGUGUCGCGUGGAUCUGAGAUCCAGUAUCUUUAAUAGGUGCGCUCCCGGGCAUGGAUGGGGUGUUAUUUGCAAAAAUACCCUGACUUUCCGCAUUCGCUCGACACGUGGAAGACGAAGUUAUUAGCGCGCAGAAGCCGAGGGGAGCAAGAUUGAGUCAACAGCCAAAUACAUUACUUGGAGAAGGGAACCCGCCUUGCAAUGCCGAAGACAAUCCGAAUGUCGAACACCUCGUCAUUGAAGCCUGGUUCGGGGGCUACUAAGGGAGUCCCGGACUAAGGGGUCCUCAGGCGUUCGGCCUGUUAUCCAUGGGCCGGACUGAUGGGCUGUGAAGACACGAAGACCGAAGAUUAUACCCGUGUCCGGAUUGGACUAUCCUUGGCGUGGAAGGCAAGCUAGGCGACCGACUAUGAAGAUUCCCUUUUAUGUAACCGACGUCGUGUAACCCUAGAUCUCUCCGGUGUCUAUAUAAACCGGAGAGCAUAGUCCGGAUAAGACAGAUUCAUUACCAUAUACUCAUAGGCUAGACUUCUAGGGUUUAGCCAUUAUGAUCUCGUGGUAGGUCAACUCUUGUAAUACUCAUAUUCAUCAAGAUCAAUCAAGUAGGAAGUAGGGUAUUACUGUUGGGGAACGUAGCAGAAAUUUAAAAUUUUCUAUGUAUCACCAAGAUCAAUCUAUGGAGUCAUCUAGCAACGAGAGAGAGGGGAGUGCAUCUACAUACCCUUGUAGAUCGCGCGCGGAAGCGUUCAAGAGAACGGGGUUGAUGGAGUCGUACUCGUCGUGAUCCAAAUCACCGAUGAUCCUAGCGCCGAACGGAUGGCACCUCCGUGUUCAACACACGUACGGAGCGGGGACGUCUCCUCCUUCUUGAUCCAGCAAGGGGGAGGAGAAGUUGAUGGAGAUCCAGCAGCACGACGGCAUGGUGGUGGAAGUAGCGGGAUCCCGGCAGGGCUUCGCCAAGCGCAAGCGGGGAGGAAGAGGUGUCACGGGAGGGAGGGAGGCGCCAGGGCUUGGGGUGCUGCUCCCAUGCGCCUCCCCACUAUAUAUAGGGGUGGAGGGGGCUGGUUUCUUGCCCUCCAAGUCCAUUGGGGCGUUGUCAAAGGUGGGGGAAAGAAAUCCCAUCAUUUCCCUUCCCUACCGAUUGUUAUCCCCCUUUUUUAGGGAUCUUGAUCUUAUCCCUUCGGGAUAUGAUCUUAUUCCUUCUAAGGUGGGAUCUUGGUGCGCCUUGACCAGGGGUGUGGGGCCUUUCCCCCACUACCCACGUUCAUGUGGGCCCCCCCAUGCAGGUGGGCCCCACUUCGGAACCUUCUAGAACCUUCCCGGUACAAUACCGAAAAAUCCCGAACAUUUUCCGGUGGCCAAAAUAGGACUUCCCAUAUAUAAAUCUUUACCUCCGGACCAUUCCGGAACUCCUCGUGACGUCCGGGAUCUCAUCCGGGACUCCGAACGACUUUCGGAUUUCCGCAUACUAAUAUCUCUACAACCCUAGCGUCACUGAACCUUAAGUGUGUAGACCCUACGGGUUCGGGAGACAUGCAGACAUGACCGAGACGACUCUCCGGUCAAUAACCAACAGCGGGAUCUGGAUACCCAUGUUGGCUCCCACAUGUUCCAUGAUGAUCUCAUCGGAUGAACCACGAUGUCGAGGAUUCAAUCAAUCCCGUAUACAAUUCCCUUUGUCAAUCGGUACGUUACUUGUCAGAGAUUCGAUCGUCGGUAUCCCAAUACCUUGUUCAAUCUCGUUACCGGCAAGUCACUUUACUCGUACCGUAAUGCAUGAUACCGUGACCAAACACUUGGUCACAUUGAGCUCAUUAUGAUGAUGCAUUACCGAGUGGGCCCAGAGAUACCUCUCCGUCAUACGGAGUGACAAAUCCCAGUCUCGAUUCGUGCUAACCCAACAGACACUUUCGGAGAUACCUGUAGUGCACCUUUAUAGCCACCCAGUUACGUUGUGACGUUUGGUACACCCAAAGCAGUCCUACGGUAUCCGGGAGUUGCACAAUCUCAUGGUCUAAGGAAAUGAUACUUAACAUUAGAAAAGCUCUAGCAAACGAACUACACGAUCUUGUGCUAUGCUUAGGAUUGGGUCUUGUCCAUCACAUCAUUCUCCUAAUGAUGUGAUCCCGUUAUCAAUGACAUCCAAUGUCCAUGGUCAGGAAACCAUAACCAUCUAUUGAUCAACGAGCUAGUCAACUAGAGGCUUACUAGGGACAUGUUGUGGUCUAUGUAUUCACACAUGUAUUACGGUUUCCAGUUAAUACAAUUAUAGCAUGAACAACAGACAAUUAUCAUGAACAAGGAAAUACAAUAAUAACCAUUUUAUUAUUGCCUCUAGGGCAUAUUUCCAACAGUCUCCCACUUGCACUAGAGUCAAUAAUCUAGUUCACAUCACCAUGUGAUUAACACUCAAAGUUCACAUCGCCAUGUGACUAAUACCCAAGAGUUUACUAGAGUCAAUAAUCUAGUUCACAUCACCAUGUGAUUAACACUCAAUGAGUUCUAGGGUUUGAUCAUGUUAUGCUUACGAGAGAGGUUUUAGUCAACGGGUCUGCAACAUUCAGAUCCGUGUGUGCUUUACAAAUCUCUAUGUCAUCUUGUAGAUGCAGCUACCAUGCGCUACUUGGAGCUAUUCCAAAUAACUGCUCUACUAUACGAAUCCGGUUCACUACUCAGAGUCAUCCGGAUUAGUGUCAAAGUUUGCAUCGACGUAACCCUUUACGACGAACUAUUUUACCACCUCCAUAAUCAAGAAAAUUCCUUAGUCCACUAGAUACUAAGGAUAAGUUCGACCGCUGUCAUGUGAUCCAUUCCCGGAUCACUAUUGUACCCCUUGACUAACUCAUGGCAAGGCACACUUCAGGUGCGGUACACAGCAUAGCAUACUGUAGAGCCUACGUCUAAAGCAUAGGGGACGACCUUCGUCCUUUCUCUCUCUUCUGCCGUGGUCAGGUCUUGAGUCUUACUCAAUACUCACACCUUGUAACACAGCCAAGAACUCCUUCUUUGCUGAUCUAUUUUGAACUCCUUCAAAAUCUUGUCACGGUAUGUAUUCAUUUGAAAGUACUAUUAAGCGUUUUUUAUCUAUCCUUAUAGAUCUUGAUGCUCAAUGUUCAAGUAGCUUAAUCCAGGUUUUCCAUUAAAAACACUUUUCAAGUAACCCUGGAUGCUUUCCAGAAAUUCUACAUCAUUUCUGAUCAACAAUAUGUUAACAACAUAUACUCAUCAAAAAUUCUAUAGUGCUCCCACUCACUUCUUUGGAAAUACAAGUUUCUCAUGAACCUUGUAUAAACCCAAAAUCUUUGAUCAUCUCAUCAAAGCGUUCAUUCCAACUCCGAGAUGCUUACUCCAAUCCUUAGAAGGAUUGCUGGAGCUUUGCAUACUUGUUAGCAUCUUUCAGGAUUGACAAAACCUUCUGGUUGUAUCACAUACAACCUUUCCUCAAGAAAAUCGUCGAGGAAACAAUGUUUUGACAUCCUAUCUGCAAGAUUUCAUAAAUAAUGCAGUCACUGCUAAUAUAAUUCUAACAGACUCUUAGCAUCGCUAUGAGUGAGAAAGUCUCAUCGCAAUCAACUCCUUGAACUUGCCGGAAAACAUCUUAACGACAAGUCGAGCUUUCUUAAUGGUGACACUUACCAUCAUUGUCUGUCUUCCCUUUAAAAUCCAUCUGUACCCAACAGCCUUACGGCCAUCAAGUAGUUCUUUCAAAGUCUAUACUUUGUUUUCAUACAUGGAUCCUCUCGGAUUUUAUGGCCUCAAGCCAUUCGUCGGAAUCCGGGCCCACCAUCGCUUCUCCAUAGCUCGUAGGUUCAUUGUUGUCUAGCAACAUGACUUCCAAGACAGGAUUACGUACCACUCUGAAGUAGUACGCAUCCUUGUCGUCCUAUGAGGUUUGGUAGUGACUUGAUCUGAAGUUUCAUGAUCACUAUCAUAAGCUUCCACUUCAAUUGGUGUAGGUGCCACAGGAACAACUUCCUGUGCCAUGCUACACAUUAGUUGAAGUGACGGUUCAAUGACCUCAUCAAGUCUCCACCAUCCUCCCACUCAAUUCUUUCGAGAGAAACUUUUCCUCGAGAAAGGACCCGUUUCUAGAAACAAUCACUUUUGCUUCCAGAUCUGAAAUAGGAGGUAUACCCAACUGUUUUGGGUAUUCUAUGAAGAUGCAUUUAUCCGCUUUGGGUUCGAACUUAUCAGCCUGAAGCUUUUUCACAUAAGCGUCGCAGCCCCAAACUUUUAAGAGACGACAGCUUAGGUUUCUCUAAACCAUAGUUCACACGGUGUCGUCUCAACGGAAUUGCGUGGUGCCCUAUUUAAAGUGAAUGCGGUUGUCUCUAAUGCCUAACCCAUAAACGAUAGUUGUAAUUCGAUAAGAGACAUCAUGGUAUGCACCAUAUCCAAUAGGGUGCAGUUAUGAUGUUCGGACACACCAUCACAAUAUGGUGUUCCAGGCGGUAUUAGUCAUGAAAUAAUUUCCACAAUUUCUUAAUUGUGUGCCAAACUCGUAACUCAGAUAUUCAUCUCUAUGAUCAUAUCACAGACAUUUUAUCCUCUUGUCACGACGAUCUUCAACUUCACUCUGAAAUUACUUGAACCUUUCAAUAAUUCGGACUUGUGUUUCAUCAAGUAAAUAUUCUCAGCAUCUACUCAAAUCAUCUGUGAAGUAAGAACAUAACGAUAUCCACUGCGUGCCUCAGCACUCAUUGGACUGCACACAUCAAAUGUAUUACUUCCAACAAGUUUCUCUCUUGUUCCAUCUUACUGAAAACGAGGCCUUUCAGUCAUCUUGCCCAUGUGGUAUGAUUUGCAUGUCUCAAGUGAUUCAAAAUCAAAUGAGUCCAAAUGAUCCAUCUGUAUGGACUUUCUUCAUGCAUAUAUACUAAUAGACAUGGUUCGCAUGUCUCAAUCUUUUCAAAAACGAGUGAGUCCAAAGAUCCAUCAACAUGGAGCUUCUUCAUGCGUUUUAUACCAAUAUGACUCAAGUGGCAGUGCCACAAGUAUGUGGUACUAUCAUUACUAUCAUAUAUCUUUUGGCAUGAACAUGUGUAUCACUACGAUCGAGAUUCAAUAAACCAUUCAUUUUAGGUGCAAGACCAUUGAAGGUAUUAUUCAAAUAGACAGAGUAACCAUUAUUCUCCUUUAAUGAAUAACCGUAUUGCGAUAAACAUAAUCCAAUCAUGUCUAUGCUUAACGCAAACACCAAAUAAUAAUUAUUCAGGUUUAACCCCAAUCUCGAUGGUAGAGGGAGCAUGCGAUGCUUGAUCACACCAACCUUGGAAACACAUAUCGUCAUCUCACCUUUAGCUAGUCUCCGUUUAUUCCACAGCUUUUAUUUCGAGUUACUAACACUUAGCAACCGAACCGGUAUCUAAUACCCUGGUGCUACUAGGAGUACUAGUAAAGUACAUAUUAAUAUAAUGUAUAUCCAAUAUACUUCUAUCGACCUUGCCAGCCUUCUCAUCUACGAAGUAUCUAGGGUAGUUCUGCUUCAGUGACCGUUCCCCUCAUUUCAGAAGCACUUAGUCUCGGGUUUGGGUUCAACCUUGGGUUUCUUCACUAGAGCAGCAACUGAUUUGCCGUUUCAUGAAGUAUCCCUUCUUGCCCUUGCCCUUCUAGAAACUAGUGGUUUUACUAACCAUCAACAAUUGAUGCUCCUACUUGAUUUCUACUUUCGCGGUGUCAAACAUCGCGAGUUGCUCAAGGAUCAUCAUGUCUAUCCCUGAUAUGUUAUAGUUCAUCACGAAGCUCUAAUAGCUUGGUGGCAGUGACUAUGGAGAACCAUCACUAUCUCAUCUGGAAGAUUAACUCCCACUCGAUUCAAGUGAUUGUAGUACUCAGACAAUCUGAGCACAUGCUCAAUGAUUGAGCUUUUCUCCCUUAGUUUGCAGGCUUAAGAAACUUGCCAGAGGUCUCAUACCUCUUGACGUGGGCACUAGUCUGAAAUCCCAAUUUCAGUCUUUGGAACAUCUCAUAUGUUCUGCGACGUUUCAAAACCGUCUUUGGUGCCACAAUUUUAAACCGUUCAACAUUACGCACUGAACUAUCACGUAGUCAUCAAAACGUGUAUGUCAGAUGUUCGCAACAUCCACAAACGACGCUCGAGGUUCAGCACAGCGAGCGGUGCAUUAAGGACAUAAGCCUUCUGUGCAGCAAUGAGGACAAUCCUCAGUUUACGGACCCAGUCCGCAUAAUUGCUACUAUCAACUUUCAACUAAAUUUUCUCUAGGAACAUAUCUUAGUAUAACUAAAGCGUAAGCUACGACAUUAUUUGCAAAGACCUUUUGACUAUGUUCAUGAUAAUUAAGUUCAUCUGAUUAUUUAAUGAACUCCCACUUAGGUAGACAUCCCUCUAGUCAUCUAAGUGAUACAUGAUCCGAAUCGACUAGGCCGUGUCCGAUCAUCACGUGAGACGGACUAGUCAUCAUCGGUGAACAUCUCCAUGUUGAUCGUAUCUACUAUACGACUCAUGUUCGACCUUUCGGUCUCUUGUGUUCCGAGGCCAUGUCUGUACAUGCUAGGCUCGUCAAGUCAACCUAAGUGUUUUGCUUGUGUUCCGAGGCCAUGUCUGUACAUGCUAGGCUCGUCAACACCUGUUGUAUGCGAACGUUAGAAUCUAUCACACCCGAUCAUCACGUGGUGCUUCGAAACAACGAACCUUCGCAACGGUGCACAGUUAGGGGGAACACAUCUCUUGAAAUUUUAGUGAGGGAUCAUCUUAUUUAUGCUACCGUCGUUCUAAGCAAAUAAGAUGUAAACAUGACAAACAUCACAUGCAAAUCAUAAAGUGACAUGAUAUGGCCAAUAUCAUCUUGCGCCUUUGAUCUCCAUCUUCGAGGCGCGGCAUGAUCACCUUCGUCACCGGCAUGACACCAUGAUCUCUAUCAUCAUGAUCUCCAUCAUCGUGUCUUCAUGAAGUUGUCUCGCCAACUAUUACUUCUACUACUAUGGCUAACGGUUAUCAAUAAAGUAAAGUAAUUACAUGCGUUUUCAUUGACACGCAGGUCAUACAAUAAAUUAAGACAACUCCUAUGGCUCCUGCCGGUUGUCAUACUCAUCGACAUGCAAGUCGUGAUUCCUAUUACAAGAACAUGAUCAAUCUCAUACAUCACAUAUAUAAUUCAUCACAUCCUUUUGGCCAUAUCACAUCACAUAGCAUACCCUGCAAAAACAAGUUAGAUGUCUUCUAAUUGUUGUUGCAUGUUUUACGUGGCUGCUAUGGGUUUCUAGCAAGAACAUUUCUUACCUACGCAAAAGCCACAACGGUGAUAUGCCAAUUGCUAUUUACCCUUCAUAAGGACCCUUUUCAUCGAAUCUGAUCCAACUAAAGUGGGAGAGACAGACACCUACUAGCCACCUUAUGCAUCAAGUGAAUGUCAGUCGGUGGAACCUGUCUCACGUAAGAGUACGUGUAAGGUCGGUCUGGGCCGCUUCAUCCCACAAUGCCGCCGAAUCAAGAUAAGACUAGUAAUGGCAAGCAAAUUGAACAAAUCAUCGCCCACAACUACUUUGUGUUCUACUCGUGCAUAGAAUCUACGCAUAGACCUGGCUCAUGAUGCCACUGUUGGGGAACGUAGCAGAAAUUUAAAAUUUUCUACGUAUCACCAAGAUCAAUCUAUGGAGUCAUCUAGCAACGAGAUAGAGGGGAGUGCAUCUACAUACCCUUGUAGAUCGCGCGCGGAAGCGUUCAAGAGAACGGGGUUGAUGGAGUCGUACUCGUCGUGAUCCAAAUCACCGAUGAUCCUAGCGCCGAACGGACGGCACCUCCGCGUUCAACACACGUACGGAGCGGACGUCUCCUCCUUCUUGAUUCAGCAAGGGGGAGGAGAAGUUGAUGGAGAUCCAGCAGCACGACGGCAUGGUGGUGGAAGUAGCGGGAUCCCGGCAGGGCUUCGCCAAGCGCAAGCGGGGAGGAAGAGGUGUCACGGGAGGGAGGGAGGCGCCAGGGCUUGGGGUGCUACUCCCAUGCACCCCCCCCCCCACUAUAUAUAGGGGUGGAGGGGGCUGGUUUCUUGCCCUCCAAGUCCAUUGGGGCGUUGGCAAAGGUGGGGGAAAGAAAUCCCAUCAUUUCCCUUCCCCACCGAUUGUUAUCCCCCUUUUUUAGGGAUCUUGAUCUUAUCCCUUCGGGAUAUGAUCUUAUUCCUUCUAAGGUGGGAUCUUGGUGCUCCUUGCCCCCACUACCCACGUUCAUGUGGGUCCCCCCAUGCAGGUGGGCCCCACUUCGGAACCUUCUAGAACCUUCCCGGUACAAUACCGAAAAAUCCCGAACAUUUUCCGGUGGCCAAAAUAGGACUUCCCAUAUAUAAAUCUUUACCUCCGGACCAUUCCGGAACUCCUCGUGACGUCCGGGAUCUCAUCCGGGACUCCUAACGACUUUCGGAUUUCCGCAUACUAAUAUCUCUACAACCCUAGCGUCACUGAACCUUAAGUGUGUAGACCCUACGGGUUCGGGAAUCAUGCAGACAUGACCGAGACGACUCUCCGGUCAAUAACCAACAGCGGGAUCUGGAUACCCAUGUUGGCUCCCACAUGUUCCACGAUGUCGAGGAUUCAAUCAAUCCUGUAUACAAUUCCCUUUGUCAAUCGGUACGUUACUUGCCCGAGAUUCGAUCGUCGGUAUCCCAAUACCUUGUUCAAUCUCGUUACCGGCAAGUCACUUUACUCGUACCGUAAUGCAUGAUCCCGUGACCAAACACUUGGUCACAUUGAGCUCAUUAUGAUGAUGCAUUACCGAGUGGGCCCAGAGAUACCUCUCCGUCAUACGGAGUGACAAAUCCCAGUCUCGAUUCGUGCCAACCCAACAUACACUUUCGGAGAUACCUGUAGUGCACCUUUAUAGCCACCCAGUUACGUUGUGACGUUUGGUACACCCAAAGCAUUCCUACGGUAUCCGGGAGUUGCACAAUCUCAUGGUCUAAGGAAAUGAUACUUAACAUUAGAAAAGCUCUAGCAAACGAACUACAUGAUCUUGUGCUAUGCUUAGGAUUGGGUCUUGUCCAUCACAUCAUUUCCUAAUGAUGUGAUCCCGUUAUCAAUGACAUCCAAUGUCCAUGGUCAGGAAACCAUAACCAUCUAUUGAUCAACGAGCUAGUCAACUAGAGGCUUACUAGGGACAUGUUGUGGUCUAUGUAUUCACACAUGUAUUACGGUUUCCAGUUAAUACAAUUAUAGCAUGAACAACAGACAAUUAUCAUGAACAAGGAAAUACAAUAAUAACCAUUUUAUUAUUGCCUCUAGGGCAUAUUUCCAACAAUUACCUCCAUAGAGAGGGCCCGAACCUGGGUAAACGUCGUGUCCCCCGUCUCCUGUUACCAUUGAUCCUAGACGCACAGUUCGGGACCCCCUACCCGAGAUCCGCCGGUUUUGACACCGACACCUCUAGGGCAUAUUUCCUUCACAUCUUUAUAUCCCAAAACAAAUGCACGGAAUCAAACUUCUCAUAUAUUCAAUGCUCCUUAUGAAAGUUUUUCUUAUAUCCCUCUUGGAUACCCAUCAUAUUAGGACAAAAUUCAUAACCUAAGCAAAUUGCCAUACUAUUUUCAAGACUAUCAAAAUAAUAAAGUGAAGCAUUAGAGUUCAUCAAUUUCUACAAAACGAAACCACCGUCGUGCUCUAAAAAUAUAUAAGUGAAGCACUAGAGCAACUACCUAGCUCAAAAGAUAUAAGUGAAGCACAUAGAGUAUUCUAAUAAAUUCAUGAUUAAUGUGUGUCCCUCUCAAAAGGUGUUUACAGCAAGGAUGAUUGUGGCAAACUAAAAAGCAAAAACUCAAAUAAUAAAAGACGCUCCAAGCAAAACACAUAUCAUGUGGUGAAUAAAAAUAUAGCCUCAAGUAAAUUUACCGAUGGAUAGAAGGCAAAAGAGGGGAUGCCAUCCGGGGCAUCCCCAAGCUUAGAUGCUUGGUUGUCCUUGAAUAUUACCUUGGGGCGCCUUGGGCAUCCCCAAGCUUAGGCUCUUGCCACUCCUUAUUUCGUAGUCCAUCAAAACUUACCCAAAACUUGAAAACUUCACAACACAAAACUCAACAGAAAACUCAUAAGAUCCGUUAGUAUGAUAAAACAAAUCUCCACUUUUAGGUACUGUUUUGAACUCAUUCAAAUUUAUAUUGGUUUAUAUCUACUAUAUUCUAUAUUCUCCAUGGUUCAUACCCCCCAAUACUACCCAUAGAUUCAUCAAAAUAAGCAAACAACACAUCGAAAUCAGAAUCUGUCAAAAAUAGAACAGUCUGUAAAGACCCGAAUAUUAGUCAUACUUCUGUAACUCCAAAAAUUCUGAAAAGUUAGGACAACAGAGGCAAUGCAUAUAUCAUUCUUUUGUAAAAAUAUCAGAGUUUUUCCACGCUCCGGUGAAUUUUAACAAUUUUGUUACUGGACGCAAAAGUGUCUGUUUUUCAGCAAAAUCAAAUCAACGAUAUUACAAAAGCAUCCCAAAGGUCUUGCUUGGCUCAAAAACUAAUUAAAACACUAAGACACAAUUAUUACAGAAUUAAUAUUGCAUAUUCUCAUAAAAACAUAAAAUAAAAAUAUUGGGUUGUCUGCCAACAAGCGGUUUUCUUUAAAGCCUUUUAGCUAGGCGUUGAUAAUUUUAAUGAUGCUCACAUGAAAGACAAAAAUUUGAAGCACAAAGAGAGCAUCAUAUAGUAUGUGAAAAACAAGUUUAAGUCUAACAUACUUCCUAUUCAUAGGUAUUUUAUUGGGAAAAGAUUUAUCAAGACAAGCAAAAACUAGCAUAUGCAAGGAAGAAGAAAGAAACAAUAGCAAUCUCAACAAAAUGAGAGGUAAUUUAAUAACAUGAAGAUUUCUACAACCAUAUUUUCCUCUCUUAUAAUAAUUACAUGUAGGAUCAUAAUCAAAUUCAAUAAUAUAGCUAUCACAUAAAAUAUUCUCUUCAUGAUCCACAUGCACGCAAAGUUGACACUCUUCCAAAAUAGUGGGAUUAACAUAAAAUAAAGUCAUUACUUCUCCAAGCCCACUUUUAUCAAAAAAUUCAUAAGAUUGAUCAAUCUACAAAGUAGUGGAAUCAUUAUUUCCUAAAGUUGACACUCUUCCAAACCCACUUUCAAUAUUAUUACAAACAUUGUUAUCAAUAUCAUAUUCAUCACGAGGCUUAAACAAAUUUUCAAGAUCAUAAGAUGCAUCACCCCAAUCAUGAUCAUUACAAUAAGUAGUGGACAUAGCAAAACCAGCAUCCCCAAGCUUGAGGUUUUGCGUAUCAUUAACACAAUUGACAUUAAUAGAAUUUAUAAUAACAUCAUGGAAAUCAUGAUUUUUUCAUUCAAGGGUCUAUCAUGAAUCACUUUAUAAAUUUCUUCAUUUAACACCUCAUCACGAAUUUCAGAUUCACGAAUUUCAAGCAAAACUUCAUAAAGAUAAUCUAGUGCACUCAACUCACUAGCAAUUGGUUCAUCAUAAUUGGAUCUUUUAAAAAUAUUAGCAAGUGGAUGAGGAUCCAUAAACUUUUUUGCUUUCUAAUUUGGAAUAAAUAUGCAAUUAUGCCAAGAUAACGUGCAAACAAACCAAGUAAGACAUAAAGGCAAACGAAAAAGAAGGCAAAUAUUUUUUUUGUUUUUCUGAAAAUGUUUUAGAAGUGGGGGAAAGGAAAACGAGAGGCAAAUGGCAAAUAAUGUAAUGCAAGAGAUGAGAGUUUAUGAUAGGUACUUGGUAGGCUUGAUGUAGAACUUCCCCGGCAAUGGCGCCAGAAAUUCUUCCUGCUACUUCUUGAGCUUGUGUUGAUUUUUCCCUUGAAGAGGAAAGGGUGAUGCAGCAAAGUAGAGAUAAGUAUUUCCCUCAGUUAAGAACCAAGGUUCAAUGCAGUAGGAGGUACAAGCAAGUCCCUAAUAGGUGCACCUGCACAAACUAACAAACACUUGCACUCAACGCGAAAAAGGGGUUGUCAAUCCCUUCACGGUCACUAGCAACAGUGAGAUCUAAUAGAGAUAGAUAUAAAGAUAAGUAAAAGGCAAAAUAAAAUAGAUAUAAAUAAAUUGCAGCAAGGUAUUUCUGGGUUUUUGAUUUUAUAGAUCUCAAAAUAUAUAAUGAGAAAUAGACCCGGGGACCAUAGUUUUCACUAGAGGCUUCUCUCUUGAAAGAACGGAUACGGUUAUGACGAUAUCUAAGGCAAUGAUCAUGAAUAUAGGCAUCACAUCUGUGACAAGUAGACCGACUUCUGCCUGCAUCUACUACUAUUACUCCACACAUCGACCGCUAUCCAGCAUGCAUCUAGUGAAUUAAGUUAACAAGAACAUAGUAAUGCCUUAAGCAAGAUGACAUGAUGUAGAGGGAUAGAUCCAAUCAAUAUGGUAAAAACCCCAGCUUUUUAUCCUUAAUGGAAAAAAUACAAAUACGUGUCUCGCUACCCCUACUGUCAAUGGGUGAGGACAGCGCAAGAUUAAACCCAUCACAAAGCACCUCUCUCAUUGCAAGAAAAAACAAUCUAGUUGGCCAAACCAAAUCGAUAGAUUGGAGAGAAAUUAUACAAAGCUAUCUUAAUCAUGCAUAAAAGAGUUCAGAAAAGACUCAAAUAAUAUUCAUAGAUAAUCUGGUCAUAAAUCCAUAAUUCAUCGGAUCUCAACAAACGCACCGCAAAAGAAGAUUACUUCGAAUAGAUCUCCAAGAACAUCGAGGAGAACAUUGUAUUGAAGAUCAAAGAGAGAGAAGAAGCCAUCUAGCUACUAGCUAUGGACCUGUAGGUCUGUGAUAAACUACUCACGUCAUUGGAAGGGCAGCAAGGUUGGUGUAGAGGCCCUCCAUGAUCGAAUCACCCUCUGGCAGAGUGCUGGAAAAGGCCCCAAGAUGGGAUCUCACGAGAACAGAAGCUUGUGACGACGGAAAAGUAUUUUUGGUGUGCCCUCUCACGUAAGGGGAAUAUUUGGGUAUUUAUAGAGCCAAGAUUGGGGUUAGGAGGUCUGCGGUGGAGCCACAAGCCUAGCCCCCCCCCCUAGGGCUUGUGGCCCCCUCAUGGGUCUUCUGGCCUCUUCCCGAAGCUCCGUGGUUGUCUUCUGGUCCAAGAAAAAUCCUCAAAAAGUUUUGUUCUGUUUGGUAUUGAUUUUCUGUAAAAGACAAAAACAAGGAAAAAAACAGCAACUGACACUGGGCUCUAGGUUAAUAGGUUAGUCACAAAAAAUGAUCUAAAAUAGCAUAUUAAUGCAUAUACAACAUCCAAGAUGGUAAUAUAAUAGCAUGAAACAAUAAAAAAUUAUAGAUACGUUGGAGACGUAUCAAAAUGCAAUAGGGAAAAAAUGGUGGUGCUGUAGAAACUUGUAGCAAUCGAUGUUGCUCAUAAGAAGUGCAAGUCUAGCAUAUGUUGCUGAAAACCCUUGUAAUAUAUCUUUCUUAUUCAUUCUACAUGCUAAAUAAUGAGGUUGGUUGCUUUAUGUAGCAACAAGAGAAUUAUAGUGGUGCAGAAACUCAAGUACUAAAGGAUAAUGCCUACAAGGAGUGUAAUGCCUUCACUAACUUCACAGAACUGUUGACAGUACUUUCAAUAUUGCCCUGUUUCAACUUCUUCAAACUAGUUUCACUGCCGCCAUGCUUCAAAUUUUCCUCUAUCUUUGUAGGGUACUGGUGAAGUUGAUUAUAUGAAUCCUCAUGAUCUUCUUUGGGGCCUUAUUUUAGUAGCUGCUGCUACAUGACAUCCUAUUUGGUUCUUUGGGGUGAAUGUGUUGAGCACUUAUUUUAAAAAAAUGCCUUGAUUGAUGGCUUUUGGUAUGUAUUAUUUUGGAUAUACAAAUUAUUCAAAUACUCAAGUGAAAUGCUUGUUUAAUUUUUUGUGUACUGUACUGCAGUGCCAAAACUGAAUCAUGCCUAUAUAUGUGUGUGUAGUGAACUGAAUCGAUUAUGUACUUGUUCCUGAACUGAACCGAAUUGGUUUCUAAACCUUUUUUUUAAGGGCAAGUUCAUUUCUAAACCUGAGUCGAUGCAUUUCUCCUCUCUCUGCCUGUUUUUUAGCGGAUCUCCUCUCUCCGCCGAGCUGGUUUUUGUUUCUCUCGAACUGGGCCUUAGUUAGGCCAAGGAAUCGCGCAGGUUGGCAAAGUUGUGCACAAAGAAAAGGUGGGUGGUUCAGCAGGGCGUUUCCUAUUUGGCGCCCGUUAAUGUGUUAAACGCAAAGCGGCGCACACCUUCACUUCGAGCAAAGCCGACCCGUUUAGCUUUUUUUUUUCUUGCGAAAACUGUAAAAACGAGAACCGAAGGUGCGUUUGGGGUAAUUCGAACCCGCAAUCUCACCGAACUAGAUAACAUGCAGUAGCCACCAGACCACAAGGCCACUUGUGAUAACUUCUUCCAUUUACUCCUCUUGUCUUGUUCUGUUUUUUUCCUUUUUCCUUCCUCUUCCUUUUAUUUUUAUUUUUUAUUUGCUCUUAAAUCCGUGAACCUUCUUCAAGUCGUUGAUUUUUUUUUUCAAAAUAGAUGAACUAUUUUUUUUCAAAUUUGUGAAUUUUUUCGAGAAUUGAUGAACUUUUUCAAAAUUGAUGACUUUUUCUGAAUUUGUGAACUCUUUUUGAAAAUCGAUGAACUUUUUCCAAAGUGGUUAAUAUUUUUUUGAAUUUGUGAACUUUUUUGAAUCGAUGAACUUUUUAAAAAUUUGUGAACCUUUUUGAAAAUCGAUAAACUUUUUUUCAACAUCAAUGAACUCUUUUUCAAAAUCGGUGAACUUUUUCUAAUUCGUGAUUUUCUUAAAUCUGUGAACUUUCAAAUUUCGUUCACACCUUUUUCAAAACAGUUCACGUUUUUCUAAUAUGUAUGUGCAGUAAAUAGCGCGCCACAUUUUGUUCUUAAAUGGCUCGCGCUGAACCGUUUCACAAGUGCCUAUGAGGUAAACGGCGCGAGCUGGAUUCCUCUCGGCAGCAACUUUUUCCGAGGGUUUUUCCCGCAAUAAAUUCAUUUUUCGCUGCACUUCGUGGUUUUGGGCCGGCCCAUCAGGUGCGGCUGCGAGCGCCAAUACCCUGAACGUAGGAGCUCCCGGGCAGAUAACGCGCGCAGGCGUCAAAAGGACGUGGCUUCGCUGAAGCCUGGCCACCCUCGCUCCAGUUUUGGGCCGGCCCACGGUUUCUCUGCUUUUUCUCUUUUUCUUGUUUCUUUCAUUUAUUUUUUCUGUUUCUGUUUCUAUUUCUAUUUCUAUUUCUGUUCUUUUCAUUUUUUUGCUUUUGUUUCUUUUUUCUUGUUUUAUACACAGUUCAUUGCCAGCGUAAAAAAAUGUUCUUCAUAUAUUUAAGAAAAUGUUUGCACUAUAUUAAGAAAAGGCUCAGCAUAUUUUUCAGAAAUGUUAAUUGUGUACUUUAAAAUUGUUCAACAUAUAUUCACAAAAAAUUCAAUGUGUACUUAAAUAUUGUUCAGCGUAUAUCACUAAAAUGUAAUGUGUAUUUAAAUAUUUUUCAGCGUAUAUCACUAAAACGUUUAAUGUCUAUUUAAAUAUACAAUCAGCGUAAAUCACAAAAUGUUCAGUGUGUAUUUAAAGUUUGUUCAGCAUAUAUCACAAAAUGUUCAAUGUAUAUUUGAAAAUUGUUCAUCAUUUGAAAUUUCAAUUUUUUUGUCAUGUUUUCAAUAAUUUUCACGUUUUUAAAGUUUGAUCGAAUUUCUAAAUUUGUAAGAUUUUCAUACAUUAUGAAAAAAUCAUUUUUUUAAGAAAUGUUGAAACUUUGAAAAAAGAAACGGAUAUUUAGGCUAACGGGCGUCGAUUAGGGACUCUCGUUUAGCAGUUAUGCUUGAUCAGGGUGGACAUGUGUGGCUUAUUUCUCCUCAUGACCUAACUUGUAUUCCCUUAAACAUCAUCGGUGGUCAAUAAAAUGUUGGCAAAUCUCAAAAAAGAAAACAGCCAUGGGAUUCUGUCUAAAAAAACCAGCCGUGGGAUGAGAAAUCAAUGCCAUCCGCGAGGGAAAAGGUAGAGGCUGUCUUCGCGGCAUAGAAUCUGCGCCACGCAUGGAAGCGAUCCAGAAUGACCCACACAAAGGAUAACCUUUAACUCCCCGCCGAACAAAAUAAUAACCCUUAACUAGUGAUUUCCCUGAAACGAUCACCGAAAAAAGAACGCAAAAAAGGAGAUUCUAUGCAUGUCUCUCCGAGAGCCCUUUUUGAAAAGCACUAACCGGCACGUGUAAAUGUAAUCCAUUUUAUCAUAUACUCCCUCCGUAAACUAAUAUAAGAGUGUUUAGAUUACUACUUUAGUGAUCUCAACGCUUUUAUAUUAGUUUACAGAGGGAGUACUGUUUAGACUUGAGGGAAAAAAAGAGGAAAGAGAAUCCUGUGUAAUAGCUGAAUGUGAGUCUCUCCUGAACCUAACUCCUAUGGCUUAGCAUAUUGUCCAACGACUGUAGUUAAAGAUUAAGCUCAUGAACUGCUUCUAGAGUUCUCGUCUAGUAUCCAGGUUAAGCUGAGCCCGUUCUCAUAAACUCCAUUCGUCACCAAUCCAGACUCACACUGUCAGCGAGACACCAGGCGGAUGAAGGACGAAAAGACUCUUAAGUUUCCUCUAGCAGGUGGUUGCUUAGCCCCAAAGGCUCGGUGAGUAGAGUUCAUCAACCAUUCCUCUUGGGAACUCUUGCCUACAGCUUCACGCCUUCACUUAACAGAAAUGGUUGACAACGUGCUACCGCCCCCCUGUUCACCUUUCCUGGCCACAAGUGGUCCGGGUUAGGCAAGAGAACCUUUAGGUUAGGCACUUCGUACCAAAUAUUUGUACAUGUUCAAGUUCCAACAGAAGCACAGAGCGGCCUCGCCUUAUGCUUCACCAAUGAUCCAGGUACAGAGAACAAGAUCCAACAAUUAAUGGUCCCUGUUAUUUAACAAUGGUUGGCCAUUGAAGAAAAGGAAGACCAAAUAUAUUCCACCAUUGCACAAAACUUCAAUAGGCCACCAGAAAUUACCGGUGAACCAGCAAUAUAUUAUGGCGAAUCCUUUUCGCCUCAAGUUAGAUAUGCAUCAAGAACAGGAUAUAUAGUGUACCUUUUUUUUUAGAUUCACACCUCAGAAGUCAAGGAUCCUGAGAUUCUACAGCUCCAGUCACAGCAUGACUGAUUGCAUGAAAGGGACCUUCAGUCGAAGGAAAACAGUCAACAACAAUAAAAGGGCAUAAUGCAAACAGCGGCCAAAUAAAUAAAAUAAAAAUCUCAGCAUACGGAGCACACAAUGAGAACAUGCAAAGAUAUAAAACUGUAAGUGCGACAGAAAUAAGAAAAUGAAUUCACUGCACAUCUACCAGUCGUGCUCAAGGGACCAAUGCUAGAAAGGGACGAACCCUCAUAAGUUUACAAUAAUAUAAGCAGAAAGAUGGGCAUCAACAAUUUGACAGUAACAAGAUGUGAAGCUUCCCGUAUACUGUUCGCUAUGCCAUCCCUCUCAUGCUUCAUUUGGCAGUUUUCCUUGUAUAGGUUAUAUCUUGAUCAACCAUACUUCUGCCAAUUGUGCAUUACCUUACCAGAAAGACCUGGUUGCCUAUAUUCAUGACCUUCAUACAAACUUUUCUUCCUACUGACCACCCAACACGUGUCAGCUUGCAUCCUAAUCCACAUGUUAGCUUCUUCUCAUUGUAUACGCAAUGCUUUCACCAAUCCAGAGAUUGCAAAAAUUCCUGACAGAUUGUUAAUUGCUGAACAAGAUAUAUUACUCAUACAAUGAUGCAAUCAGAUUAACAUUAGCCAUGGAUAAAGCUCAGGAAAAUAAAAGCAUAAUUAUUGGUCACUUGGGAUUAUGAUUGCUACUCUAGUAGUAGAAUACAGGUGCAUGUGCCCAGAGGCCAAGUACUUUUCCAUGUACAUGGAUAACACAAGACAAAUUUCGUCCAGAAGCGUAAACUAAUAUCAUGCUUUCUACUCCCUCCAUUCCUAAAUAUUUGUCUUUUUAUAGAUUUCAAAUGAACUACCACAUACGGAUGUAUAUAGACAUAUUUUAGAGUGUAGAUUCACUCAUUUUGCUCCAUAUGUAGUAACUUGUUGAAAUCUCUAGAAAGACAAAUAGUCCCUCCGUUCCUAAAUAUUUGUCUUUCUAGAUAUUUCAAAUGGGACUACCACAUACGGAUGUAUAUAUACAUAUUUUAGAGUGUAGAUUCGCUCAUUUUGCUCCGUAUGUAGUCGCUUAUUGAAAUCUCUAGAAAGACAAAUAUUUAGGAACGGAGGGAGUAUUUAGGAACGGAGGGAGUAGUCAAAUACUACCUCUGUAACUUAAUAUAAGAUGUUUUUAACACUAUGACAGUGUCAAAAAACGCCUAAUAUUAAGUUACGGAGGGAGUAUUAACUUGGCCAUACGCUUGCAUGGUCCUUUCAGACAUAGUCACUACUCAAUUCAACACUCACAGGAAAGACCACUGGAAAAUGGUACACUGGCCCCUAGAUUUGUACAAAGUUCAGGCAACAUAUAUAAUAGUUCGAGCUAAAAGGAACAAAAAGUGGUGUACUCGAUAAUCUGCAUUAGAGUGUAUAUACAUGAGAAGCGCCCACAAAAAGAAAACCGCAUAAAAAUGGACAUUGCUUGAGCAAGAAACUUGUGAGAACUGACACCAAUGAUGAUGCUUCAGGAAAGUUGGAGAAAGUCUAUUCAACCAGACCAGGCUUUCAGGAAUAACUUUAUGUGGAGAGAGCCUGCAGUGAUUCCAUUGUAAAGAAACUCUUGAACCACCACACCUACUGCAUCCUUCUCCUUGCUUCUUAGCUUGGCUUACCAUCUUCUCUAAAACAACCAUGCUCUGCCCCCCAAUAUAAGUACUCACCUGCUGGCCACACAAGAUGCUAGAAGCCAGGUAGACACUGAAACAGGAGUUUGAGCAGAGUAAUAGGGCCACCUCUCUUCUGUGUGCAGUAUCAAGCGAAAUGGACAACAGCAUGCCUGUAGUCAGUAAGAUGUAUUGCACAAGCACUCCAGCGGCGCUGAUGAUCAGGAGAAGACCCAUGGUAGUGAAUGGCGGUGGUUUUGUUGUUACUGACUUUAGUCAUAAUGUUGUUUUCAUCGUGGAUGGUUGUGGUAUACUUGGAUCUAAGGGAGAGCUCAUGGUGAAAGACAGUGAUGGACAACAGAUACUAUUCAUUUCUAGAAAGGUAAUACAUCAUAAGUUGCUGAAUAGUAACUCGUAGAUAGGCUUAUUUUCUCUAUUACCAGUUGUUUGAAGUGCUUCACCUGAAUUAAAAGCUAAUCGAUUAGGAGUGGAACUAUUUGCUCCANNNNNNNNNNNNNNNNNNNNNNNNNNNNNNNNNNNNNNNNNNNNNNNNNNNNNNNNNNNNNNNNNNNNNNNNNNNNNNNNNNNNNNNNNNNNNNNNNNNNNNNNNNNNNNNNNNNNNNNNNNNNNNNNNNNNNNNNNNNNNNNNNNNNNNNNNNNNNNNNNNNNNNNNNNNNNNNNNNNNNNNNNNNNNNNNNNNNNNNNNNNNNNNNNNNNNNNNNNNNNNNNNNNNNNNNNNNNNNNNNNNNNNNNNNNNNNNNNNNNNNNNNNNNNNNNNNNNNNNNNNNNNNNNNNNNNNNNNNNNNNNNNNNNNNNNNNNNNNNNNNNNNNNNNNNNNNNNNNNNNNNNNNNNNNNNNNNNNNNNNNNNNNNNNNNNNNNNNNNNNNNNNNNNNNNNNNNCAAACAAAAAUAAACAAGGGCACAAGUAACUUCAACGCAGUUCUCUUGAGACAGUGAAAACUUAACUGUCGACAGCCAAGAAGAUAAACACAAACGAUCUCUCGCUCAUGUCCGUAUACCCUGUAUUUCUUUGAAUAUCACCAGAAUGAAACUCUCUAUGUGCUCCAUUACAGGGAGGAAUUGUACAGGUUCUAAGCACGCGGAACAAAUGGAAUGGGUACUCAAUGGAUUACCAAGGGAAAAACAAGUUGGUCUUUAGCCUAACUGAUCCCAAAUCAUGCAUAGCAAAAGGUGCACCGGUUAGAAUUCACAUUGAACCAAAGAGGCACUGCAAUAAUUGGGAUUUCGAGGUCUGUGGAUCUUUUGCAGAUAGGAACUGCACAAUAAUUGAUUGCACUGGAAAAAUAGUGGCGCAGGUAUGCCAUCCAUACCUUGAUAAUUCUUCUGCAAGCAAUACAUUCUACAUAUGUAAUUGCAGUGAAUUGUAUUCUUUUGUAGAGUUCCUUUGUGUCAUCACUAAAUUACAAAGCAUGUGCAUAUAUUUGCUUCAAUAUGGCCAAAUUAGUUGUGAACUACAGAUUCCCCAUGAGUCAUAAUUAACAGAAUUACUCCAUGACAACACGGGAAAGGAUAAGCAAAGGCUAUCCUAAAGUGAGAUGUUGGUAAAGGGAUGGUGUUUAUUUCCAGUGGUUUUGCUUGAUUGAUAUUGUUGAGAUCGAGAGGGAGAGCAGUCCCUUCAGACAGCUCGAGCUCUCUUGUCUGGUUGCCCAUGCGAGUUCUGUGUGUGUGUGGCGGACAGAAACUUGAGGACUGAAUGCCCCCUUCUAGGUCAGCACGCUCACAUGGGCUUGGGCCCUAAGUGACAAAGCUUGAUGGGCUUGGGCCCAUACCAGUUCAGGCCCUGUUUGGUUCGGCUGUGGAUUUUUAAAAGCAGCUGUGAAAAAUCUGCUGUGGAAAACCAGCUGUGGAAAAUCUGAUGUGAAAAAGAUGUAGGUCAUUUGGCAAACCAGCUGAUACAGCUUUUUUAGAUUUUGGCCCGCAGCGGAAUCAGAUUUUGGAAAGCACGUCCUGGGCUGCUUCCGCUUUUGGUUCAGAUUUUGGCAGCGGAUUUCUGGAAUCGGAUUCUGCUGGGUUCGCCCUUUGGUUCAGAUUCUGAUGCGCGGCAGCGGAAUCCGUCGAUAAAAGCUGAACCAAACAGGGCCUCAACAGUUAUUAUAAAUGUCUAUGCAAGUGUGUCUAGUAAAGUUUAGAAGAAUUUCCAUGCAUGCCACAAGAACAUACAUAUCUUUUGCAGAUAGAUACUGCACGAUAAUUGAUUGUACCAGCAAAAUAGUAGUGCAGGUAUGCCACACAUACCUUCAUAAUCCCCUGCAAGAAAAAGUUUCUACAUGUGCUUUUUCAGCAAGUUAUAUUUAUUUUGUAAGAUACAUUUGUAUCAACUCCGCCUAUGUCUUCUAGGCAUAGCCGGUCCCAAGCCCGGGUAAAGGAGGAGGGUUGUGAUAGGCUUGGCGAGCCAACGUAAAAACUAGCCAGUCCCAUAGGUAUGAAACCCAUUUGAGCGAGAGUAGUACUAGGAUGGGUGACCUCCUGGGAAGUCCUCGUGAAAGGGUUUCAUAUCUAAGGGUUGUGAUAGGCUUGGCGAGCCAACGUAAAAACUAGCCAGUCUUUUGGGUAUGAAACCCAUUUGGGCGAGAGUAGUACUAGGAUGGGUGACCUCCUGGGAAGUCCUCGUGAAAGGGUUUCAUAUCUAGCCUACCCCAACUUGUUUGGGAUAAAAGGCUUCGUAAGUAAAAGUAUACAUUUGUGUUAUCACAAAGUUACUAGAUGCACGUCCUACUGAAACACAAGCUUGAUCUAGAGCCAAGGUUGCUUAGAUAAAUCCACAGUUCAUCCUCUACCUCAUGGACUGCCAGACACGCGGAUUACCACAUAACACACAUGUGUGUGUGGGUGCGACACAUCAACGCUUGAUCCAUCCAAGGACGGAACUCAUUUGUAGAGUUCUACUGUGUUAUCACAAAAUUAUUGAGUACAUGCAUAUCAUUCUGUCAUGGAUUAUAAUUAACAAGAAUUAUUCCAUGACAUCAGGGAAGAACAAAUAUGCUAUCUAAAGUGAGAUGUUAGUUACUUAGUAAAGGAAUGGUGUUUGAUUAUUUCCAGUUAUUUUGUUUGAUUGUUGUUCUACAUGUCUGUGCAAGUGUGUCUGGUAAAGUGUAUAAGAAUUUCAGUGCAUGCCACAAGCAUAUGUGCAUUACAAAAAAGAUAGAGAUCUAACAAAUAUAUUCUUCAAACUGUAGAUGGGGAAGAAAGAGCUGAUAGAAAGUAAUGACUUCUACCACGUGACAGUGCAGUCAGGAUGUGACCAGGCUUUUAUCAUUGGGGUGAUGGCAGUUCUUGACAACAUCCAUGGAGAAUCCACCAGAUGUUAAUAAAAUGAAUGGGUGAAUAUGCUCACUUACAGCCACCUACUUUAGUCUUGAAGUAGAGGUCAAACGAAUGUAUGUCCACUGGCAAGUGACAACAUCCCACUGUAUCAGGCUAUCAGCUACACUGCAUAUUAGAUUUAGCCAGUUUUAGAAGUUGGCAAGUGAUUAAUUGAUGAUGUAGUAGUGCCAAGAGUUUAUUAUAUGAGCUUAACAUGUGUGCUGCUCAAUUAUUUCUUUGACAAACAGUGGUUCACACAACAAAGCAAAAGGAGCACACAAAAACACAGGCGCACAUAACAUUCCUGAGACAGCUUUAUGAAUCUAUAUUGACUACUCUAUGUAUUGAAAUAACAGGUCACUGAAUAACGAAGUAUUUACCCAUUGAACUUCGCUCAAUGGAGCAUAUUAUGCUUAAUUAGCAGGCUAUCAUGAUCUUAACACUGACGUCCUACGAAACAAGGUGUUUCGCAAAGUUCUAGCAGAUAAACACAAUGUUUUCAUUAAAAUAGGUAAACCCGCGUUAGCUUUUCUGGUACUCAGUUUAUAAGACUUCUAAGCCAGACUGCUACGCGCCUCAACAUGCCAUACAUUAUGUCGCAAAAACUAGAAAGUUGCUAGUACUAAGUAACAAAUAUGUUUAAGAAACAACAUAACAAGCAUCACGGCAGAAGGUGUAACUUACUCAAAAAACAAAGAAGGUGUAACUGUUAAAACUGUAUGCUCAGACUUGUUAUUCUGUAGGCAUGGUUGUAGGAAAAAUGCGCACAAUGUGCAUGACAGUUGAAAUGAUCAACUUCCCUUUCCUAAAAUAUUUUCUAUACUGGAGUGAACAAUGAACAAGGCACAAUACAAGUUAAGUACCUCUGCUAGAGGGUAAAUUACUUCCAUCGUGUUCUUCAACUGCUGAUUCCCCCUCAUUUAGGUAACAGCUCCUCCAAAACGAAGAAGGUUCUUGACAGGCAGGUCCAAGUGACUGGAUGAUCUUAUCAUCUACCCAGGGAGUCGACAAAUCAUACAUGAGGUGUUGAGGAGUGUGUCAAGGGUCCAUUGAGCAAGUGAUGUAGCACUACUGCAGCUGAUCAGCAGGCCCCUUGAAAUUUACAGCUCCACCAUUUGCUUCCCUUUAUGGAAUUCAUCGAAUCACUUCAACGUAUACACGGAGCACCAAGCUGCUUGUCCUUUUCUUUCUUAGCAUGAAACUUUGGAUUAGUCUCUCAAUAGUUCCAUACCCUUGGUGUAACCAAGAUGUCAUUGGUUACAUUUGAGUUCCUUUUGACUGAAUGUUCUGCAAAACCACUAAUGUAAAAAUAAAAUGUCAGUAUAAUGCCUUCCAAUAUUCAAUCGUGUUUCAAUGGAAUACAAGUGCAGUACAGUUCACAUGACUAGACAUGUAUAUAAAAAUCAGGAAUUUCGCAAGUCAGCUCUCUAAUGUCUAUAGAAUAAGAUUAGCGUGUGGGCAGUAAAAUAUUGCUCACAUUUUCUACGGACUCGAACAGACUAUUAAUCACAAUCACCACCACUGAUUAACGCUGCUAUAUAUCUAUGCUGAACUAAAAUGUGAAGUAAACAUUAAACAGGCCACUCAACCUAUUAAAUCAAACACAUUUUGGAGAGUUAACGUGAUACUUAUGAAGUUAUACAAUUUUGUAUGGAAGUAGUUCAAAUGUGCAAAAUGUAGUAGUUAGUAUAGUUGAUGCAAGAGGCCUUUGAUUCAAAACAACGACUCACCAGAGCUUGUUCUUCUUAUUUGGACAAGCGCCAGAUGCCCCGUAAUUCGCACCGAAAACAGUCAAGAUGCUGUUCCUUACAUUCUCCAUUGUAUCAUUCAGCUAUACAGCUACUGAAAUGUCUACGCUUUGGGUAACAGGAGAAGGAUCUUUCCAACUCGAUGAAGCACCCCCUGCUGCAAUACGCAUUAUGUGAUCCACCUCACCAGGCAUCCCAGACUUUAAAAGGCAGCUAAUAAAAGAAUUGACUACUAUACUGUCAGGGGAACACCCAGUCUCUACCAUUUUAUGGAAAAAUGUGAUGGCUUCUGCUAUCCUACCCUUCAUGCAGUGCCCAAUUAUCAAAAUAGUAUAUGUAUACUUGUCGGGACGACAUCCUUUCUCUUCCAUCUCCAUUAGAAUCAUGUUUGCUUCGUCCACCUUUCCACCCUUGCACAGUACAUCAAUCACAGGGUUAUAUAUAAACACUUGUGGUGCAAUGUCUGUUCUCAUGUUCAUUUUUUUCAAAAAAUGAAGCGCUUCCCCUGAUCUGUUCUGCUUACAAAAUGUGUGUAUUAUGAUACAGAACGUGUGUGCAUUUGGUUGAAUAUGGUACUGAGACAUCUCAGCCCAAAUCUUCAUUGCAUCAUCAAGCUGUCCGCACCGACAAUAUCCAUCAAUCAAUGAACUAAAUGUCACAACAUCAGGAAGGCAGCGACGAAGUAUCAUUUGCUGAUACACUGCCACCGCAGACCCCAUAUUCCCAGCCUUGCCAUAUCCAUUGAUUAGCACAUUGUAUGUGACCAAAUUGGGUGAUGUCCCACACGCAACCAUGUCAUCGUAUACUGCCAUUGCAUCCUCCAUCCUGCCAGUCUUACAGUAACCUGAGAUUACUGAGGUGUAUGUCACUACAUUGGGCAUGCAAACACCAUCUCUCUGAAGCCUCCUCAACACCUCACGACCCUUACUCACCUCCUUUGCCCUGCAUAGCCCAUUCACAAGAAUAUUAUGUGUGACAGUAUCUGGCGAGCAACCAAACUCAUCCAUCCUUUCGACCAACUCGAGCGCCUUUUGAACAUCCCCCACCUUGCAAACCCCCUUGAUGACGACAUUAAAGCUCCAGACGUCCGGGGAAUACACUCUCCCCUGGAUCCACCCCUCAAACAAUGCCACAGCGUCCUGCACCCGGCCACGGCCAAUGAACAAGCCCAUGAGCUUGUUAUAUGCAUACGCUUCAAUGGAACAACCAAAUUGGGAUGCCUUUGAGAGCAAUGCUGCAGCAGCAUCAAGAAGGCCUGCAGUGGCGCAGGAACCGGACAGGAACGAGAGAAAACGAGCAUUGGGAAAGUAACCAGACUGGUCCGUCAUUUGGUCGAACAGUUGGAGGGCAUCAGUGUGGCGGCCGGACUGGCACAUCAACGAGAUGACGUAGCGGUAGGAAUGAGCGGACGGGGGGAUGGCGAGCUGGGAGUGGGCGGAAUGCAGCGCAGAGAAGAGGUGGAGCGUCGAGGAGGCGCACGGCGCGUGGCGGAGCGCGGCGGCGGCGGCGGCCUGGGAGGGUGCGAGGCGGCGGAAUGCCGGGAGGUAGUGUGGCAGGAGUAAGGCGGCAGUCGCGAGCGCCUUGGCGAUCCAAAGCUCAGCGUCGUGCAGGGGCGGGUCCUGCGGCGGCGGGCGGUCGAUGGGGUUGUAGGAGUGGAGGAGGCGGAGGAGGGGGUGGCGAGGGGGGAUCCGGAGCUGGAGGAGGCUGUGUAUGAGGAGCUGGGGAGGCAUCGGAGAAGGCGGCGGCGGAUGGUCGCUUGAGAGGAGGAGACGGCGCGGCGGCGGUCAUGGAAUCACGGCGAUGGGGGGAGGCGGCGUAGGCCGCAUGGUGGUGCGUGUGGGAGGGAGAAGAGGGUUUGGCCCGGUUGGGGCUUUUCUGUAAAUCUGUACUGUGCGCAGCGGUCCAACAAUAUCUCGUAUGAAUAUGAUUUUGAUUUGAAGCACAGAUCCACUUGUUUCGCUUGAAUUCGAGUCUGUGUUACUUAAAUGGUUUUGAAGAACUUAUGAAACAGCAGAUUAUUUGGAAUGUGUUGUUGUUGUUUUUGCGAGACAACUUUCAAUAUAUUCAUCCACUGUUAAGGUAAUACAGAAAACACGAGAAGUAAAAUUUACAUCCAGAUCCAUAGACCGCCUACCGACGACUAGAAGCACUGGAGCGAACUGAAGGCGCACCGCCGUCAAAACAACACAAGNNNNNNNNNNNNNNNNNNNNNNNNNNNNNNNNNNNNNNNNNNNNNNNNNNNNNNNNNNNNNNNNNNNNNNNNNNNNNNNNNNNNNNNNNNNNNNNNNNNNNNNNNNNNNNNNNNNNNNNNNNNNNNNNNNNNNNNNNNNNNNNNNNNNNNNNNNNNNNNNNNNNNNNNNNNNNNNNNNNNNNNNNNNNNNNNNNNNNNNNNNNNNNNNNNNNNNNNNNNNNNNNNNNNNNNNNNNNNNNNNNNNNNNNNNNNNNNNNNNNNNNNNNNNNNNNNNNNNNNNNNNNNNNNNNNNNNNNNNNNAGCAAAAAUUAUUGUAGUAGACAGUCGAAAGGUCAACCCCACAGGACCAAUGCACCAGAACAGCAACUGUCGCCCAUGAAGAGAAGUGUAGAUCGGAAGGAUCCAAUCUACAGACACACGAACGUAGAUGAAUGAAGACUGGGUCCACCGAAGACAAACGCCGACCGAAUCCCUCGAGAUCUGCCGGAUACACACCUCCACAUGCUCUUCGACGACGCUUGAAGCAUCACUGGGACGGAGGCUAGGCAAGAAGAAUCUUAUUCCAUAUGCAAGAAAUCAUCGUCGCCUCAUCUUCUUGAGCAUGGCACAAACCCUAACAAAAAGUCAGAAAAGGACCUAAAAACGAAGCCCUCUCACCGGCAAGGGCCGGGAUCCACCACGCCUCCAUGGUCCAAAGACCAUAGGAGAUGAGGCGGAUCACCGGCAUCGAGGAGCAGGAAACCCUAGAUGCGAGUUCGCACGAGGGUGUGUUGUUCCUGUACAAAUUGUUUGCUAAUGACGUGAACAUGGAUUCCAACGAACUUUCAAAAAGAAAAUGGAUAAAACUCAUUAAUAUUAAUACGAUCAAAAUCAAACCAAAUUUGAAGGAAAUAUGCCCUAGAGGCAAUAAUAAAGUUAUUAUUUAUUUCCUUAUAUCAUGAUAAAUGUUUAUUAUUCAUGCUAGAAUUGUAUUAACCGGAAACAUAAUACUUGUGUGAAUACAUAGACAAACAGAGUGUCACUAGUAUGCCUCUACUUGACUAGCUCGUUGAUCAAAGAUGGUUAAAUUUCCUAGCCAUUGACAUGAGUUGUCAUUUGAUUAACGUGAUCGCAUCAUUAGGAGAAUGAUGUGAUUGACUUGACCCAUUCCGUUAGCUUAGCACACGAUCGUUUAGUAUUAUGCUAUUGCUUUCUUCAUGACUUAUACAUGUUCCUAUGACUAUGAGAUUAUGCAACUCCCGUUUACCGGAGGAACACUUUGUGUGCUACCAAACGUCACAACGUAACUGGGUGAUUAUGAAGGUGCUCUACAGGUGUCUCCGAAGGUACUUGUUGGGUUGGCGUAUUUCAAGAUUAGGAUUUGUCACUCCGAUUGUCGGAGAGGUAUCUCUGGGCCCACUCGGUAAUGCACAUCACUUAAGCCUUGCAAGCAUUGCAACUAAUGAGUUAGUUGCUGUAACGCCCACGAUGCGGCUAUAUAUCCCACGUGUCGAGGCACGACUUAGAGGCAUAACCGCAUAGUGGUUUUGUCGCAAGAAGGGUCAUCUUCACACAAUCCCAUGUAAUGAACAAGAAUGGGAUAAAGAGUUGGCUUACAAUCGCCACUUCACACAAUACAUAAAUAUCAUUCAUACAUCAUCCAAAAUACAAUCAUAUAGACCGACUACGGUCAAAAUCCAGAUGAAAAUAAGACAACCCCAAAUGCUAGAUCCCCGAUCAUCCCAACUGGGCUCCACUACUGAUCAUCAGGAAAAGACACAUAGUAACGACCACGUUCCUCGUCGAACUCCCACUUGAGAUCGACGCCGUCAUCUGCACUGGCAUCGUCGGCACCUGCAACUGUUUUGGAAGUAUCUGUGAGUCACGGGGACUCAGCAAUCUCACACCCGCGAGAUCAAGACUAUUUAAGCUUGUAGGACAAAGAGGUGCAAAGAGGUGGAGCUGCAGCGGCAAAAGCAUAUAUGGUGGCUAGCUUGCGCAAAUGAGAGCGAGAAGAGAAGCAACGGAACGGACGUCAUCUAGCAAUGACCAAGAAGAGGUCCUGAACACCUACUUACGUCAUGCAUAAGACAGACCGUGUUCACUUCCCGGACUCCGCCGAGAAGAGACCAUCACGGCUACAUACGCACUUGGUGUAUUUUAAUUGGGUCAAGUGACAAGUUAUCUACAACCGGACAUUAACAAAUUCCCAUCUGCCUCAUAACCGCGGGCACGGCUUUCGAAAGAUAAUACCCUGCAAGGGUGUCCCAACUUAGCCCAUCAUAAGCUCUCACGGUCAACGAAGGAUAAACCUUCUCCCGGAAAGACCCGACCAGUCUCGGAAUCCCGGUUUACAAGACAUCUCGACAAUGGUAAAACAAGACCAGCAAAGCCACCCGAAUGUGCCGACAAAUCCCGAUAGGAGCUGCACAUAUCUCGUUCUCAGGGCACACCGGAUGAGACAUCCUACGAGUAAAAUCAGACCUCGAGUUUCCAGGAGGGGGCCCCGCAGUCUGCUCAGUUCGGACCAACACUCGAAGGAGCACUGGCCCGGGGGGGUUAAAAUAAGAUGACCCUCGGGCUCGCGAAAACCCGGGGGAAAAGGCUUAGGUAGCAAAUAGUAAAACCAAGGUUGGGCCUUGCUGGAGGAGUUUUAUUCAAGGCGAACUGUCAAGGGGGUCCCAUAAAUCACCCGACCGCGUAAGGAACGCAAACUCAAGGAAUAUAAUCCCGGUAUAACAGUAACUAGGGCGGCAAGAGUGGAACAAAACACCAGGCAUAAGGCCGAGCCUUCCACCCUUUACCAAAAUAUUAUAGAUGCAUUAAUUAAAUAAGAGAUAUUGUGAUAUCCCAACAUCUCCAUGUUCCGAUAUGGAACAAACUUCAACUUCACCUGCAACUAGCAACGCUAUAAGAGGGGCUGAGCAAAAGCGGUAACAUAGCCAAACAACGGUUUGCUAGGAAAGGAUGGUUAGGGGCUGACAUGGCUAAAAUGGGAGACAUGAUAUAGCAAGUGAUAGGUAGCGGAGCAUGGCAAUAGAGCGAACAACUAGCAUAGCAAAGAUAGAAGUGAUUUCGAGGGGUGGUCAUCUUGCCUGCAAGGUUCUCAGAGUUGUCGAAAGUUUGAUCCUCGUAAGCGUACUCGACAGGUUCCUCGUUCACGAACUCGUCUCCCGGCUCUACCCAAGACAAGAACACAAGCAAACGGAACCACAAUCAAUCACGAGGAAUGCGCGAGCAACAUGAUGCAGAACAUGUAUGAUAUGCAAGAUAUGAUAUGCGAUGCGUAUGCGUGCUCCGGAAGGAAAAUGAUGAACAUGGCAGUAACUUGGCAAACCAAGCAUGCCACUGGAAAGAUGAGAUGAUUUUGGUCGAAAUCGAUAUAAAGAUCACCGGAAUCGGAUGCACGGUUUGCAAAUGGCAAGCGAAACAAGAAUGACACUAAUCUGCGAUAAAUAGCAAGAUAGCACUUAAAAUACAACAAGUAACAAUGCUACAGCACCCCAACAUAGCAACAAAGCAUAUGGCAGUAAACUACAGGAGAUGCUUGACAAAAGAUGAACACUGAGCUACGGCUAGUUCACAACAUAUCAAGCUCAAACAAGCAUGGCAAAAGUGCAAAAGAUUACAGGCUCACAGACUUAGUGAAAAACUGGACAUGGCAGAAAUCAGCAUCAGGUAGCAAUGUUCAGAGCACGAAAUCAACAUGCUACAGGAACUUAACAUAGCAAAACAAGGCAUGGCAGUGUUCUACUAAAUGCACAUGACAAAAGUCCAUUACUGACCAUAAGCCAAAAAGGACCAGAAGAUAUGAUGGCAAGCAUGUAAACAUAACAAGUUUCGUUAUCAGGUUUCAGACUUAGCAGAAAACAGAGCAUGGCAGAAAUAUUAAUAUGUAGGCCUCUUUGUGAGCUUGAUGCACUCACUACAGAGCAAUGCAUGACAAACCAAGCAUACCUACAGCAAGAUGGCAUGUUUAUGAAGCUAUCCAUAGCAAGAACAAUUACAUAGCAUGUAUGGAUCAACUACAAUAAGCUUGGCAAAAAUGCAUAUCAUGUUAAGAAUCUGCCAGAAAUAUUUUAUAGCAAAAGUAGAGCAAGAUUGAGUCAUGCUAUGGCACUCUAAAAUUGCAAACAAUUGCAGGAAUGGAUCAAUUACAACUAUAGCUACAAAACAUCUUUACUGAACAUCUCCAAAAUAUGCAUGGAUCUCUCUGUAACAUCAAGUUUACAUGGCAACAAAGUUACAGCAGACGAGGACUUAGAGAAAUCACCAAGUCCCUGAAAUCAGAAAUAUUACGGGGCCUAAUUUGCAUGCUUGUGCUAGUCACCACAGAGAUCAAAAAAAUACAUGGACUACACCACUGGAAAGAUGGCAUGGCAUACUUCAAAACACAUGUAGAGCUCAUGCUCAAAAGAUGCACAGAAUAAAUGAUACAAAAAUGACAAAUCUCCAAGUUCUGAUAAGAACCAGAGAUUAACAGCAACUAGCCCUCUUCCAACGAAGAUUUGGGCAUCAAUAUGACCUCUAAAGAAAAUGGUGCAAUUGAACAAAAUGAAGAGCAUCACGAGACGAACAAUUUGACAUAUUACACGCGCGAAUCGGAGCUACAUGCAAGAAGUUAUCGCAUCGGGAACAGGAGCAUAUGCUGAGAAAAAUUAGGACUUAGAAAAAAACGGGCUCGGGGAAAAAGUCAACUCACGCCGAGCGAGAUCCAGAUCGGGGAGCUCCUCGACGGGGCUAGGGACUCCGGUGGGUGGCUCACCGGCGGGAGGAGAGGAGAGGCCGGCGGGCUCGGGCGGAGGGAGGAGGCGGCGACGGAGGAGACGCCGGCGGGGGCGGCGGUCGCCGGAGGCGCAGCGGCGGCGAUGGCCGAGCGGCGGNNNNNNNNNNNNNNNNNNNNNNNNNNNNNNNNNNNNNNNNNNNNNNNNNNNNNNNNNNNNNNNNNNNNNNNNNNNNNNNNNNNNNNNNNNNNNNNNNNNNNNNNNNNNNNNNNNNNNNNNNNNNNNNNNNNNNNNNNNNNNNNNNNNNNNNNNNNNNNNNNNNNNNNNNNNNNNNNNNNNNNNNNNNNNNNNNNNNNNNNNNNNNNNNNNNNNNNNNNNNNNNNNNNNNNNNNNNNNNNNNNNNNNNNNNNNNNNNNNNNNNNNNNNNNNNNNNNNNNNNNNNNNNNNNNNNNNNNNNNNNNNNNNNNNNNNNNNNNNNNNNNNNNNNNNNNNNNNNNNNNNNNNNNNNNNNNNNNNNNNNNNNNNNNNNNNNNNNNNNNNNNNNNNNNNNNNNNNNNNNNNNNNNNNAACUCUAGAGUUCGUCUGCGAAUCCGUUUUUCGGGAUGUCCACAUAUAAAUAGGUAGAGGGAGCUAGGAGACUCCAAAUGAGGUGCGGUUUUCGCCCACACGAUCGUGAUCGAACGACCUAGAGCAUGGAAGAGAGUUUGGUGGGUUUUGGGCUGAUUUUGGAUGGGGUUUUUGCUGGACACUCAAAUGGACUUUGCGGAUGCCCGGUUAACCGUUGGAGUACCAAACGACCUCCGAAUGGAACGAAACUUGACCGGUAGUCUCCGGGUGGUAUAUUAAGACCACUUGACAAGCCUCGGUCCAUUCCAAAAAAGUUUGACACACGCACACGAAAGACAACAAGAGGGGUGCACCGGAGGAGAUAGGAGCGCCGGAUUGGAAAACGGACAACGGGGAAAAUGCUCGGAUGCAUGAGACGAACACGUAUGCGAAUGCAAUGCACAUGAUGACAUGAUAUGAAAAUGCAUGACAUGACAAAAUACAAAACGAAAGACAAAACCCGACAACGGAGGGAAAAACAUAUCACAUAGCCGGAAAUGGCAAGAGUCGGAGUUACAAAUAUGGCAAGUUACAUGCGGGGUGUUACAGUUGCGGAAUGAUGUAUUACAGAACGAGUAAAGAGACUUGCCGGUAACGAGAUUGAACUAGGUAUUGAGAUACCGACGAUCGAAUCUCGGGCAAGUAACAUACCGAUGACAAAGGGAACAACAUAUGUUGUUAUGUCGUCUGACCGAUAAAGAUCUUCGUAGAAUAUGUGGGAGCCAAUAUGAGCAUCCAGGUUCCGCUAUUGGUUAUUGACCGGAGACGUGUCUCGGUCAUGUCUACAUAGUUCUCGAACCCGUAGGGUCUGCACACUUAAAGUUUCGAUGACAGUUAUAUUAUGAGUUUAUAUGUUUGAUGUACCGAAGGUUGUCGGAGUCCCGGAUGUGAUCACGGACAUGACGAGGAGUCUCGAAAUGGUCGAGACAUGAAGAUUGAUAUAUUGGACGACUAUAUUCGGACACCGGAAUGGUUCCGGGGGUUAUCGGAUAUAUACCGGAGUACCGGGGGGUUACCGGAACCCCCCCGGGGGAUUAAUGGGCCUACAUGGGCCUUAGUGGAGAAGAGAAGGGGCGGCCAGGGCAGGUCGCACGCCCCCUCCCUCUCUAGUCCGAAUUGGACAAGGAGGGGGGGCGGCGCCCCCCUUUCCUUCUUCUCCUCCUCCUCUUUCCCCCCUUCUCCUAAUCCAACAAGGAAGGGAGGGAGUCCUACUCCCGGUGGGAGUAGGACUCCUCCUGGCGCGCCCCUCUCCUGGCCGGCCGCCUCUCCCCCCCUUGCUCCUUUAUAUACGGGGGCAGGGGGCACCCUAAAGACACAACAAUUGCUCAUUGAUCUUUUAGCCGUGUGCGGUGUCCCCCUCCACCAUAGUCCACCUCGAUAAUAUCGUAGCGAUGCUUAGGCGAAGCCCUGCGUCGGUAGAACAUCAUCAUCGUCACCACGCCGUCGUGCUAACGAAACUCUCCCUCAACACUCAGCUGGAUCGGAGUUCGAGGGACGUCAUCGGGCUGAACGUGUGCUGAACUCGGAGGUGCCGUGCGUUCGGUACUUGAUCGGUCGGAUCGUGAAGACGUACGACUACAUCAACCGUGUUGUGCUAACGCUUCCGCUUUCGGUCUACGAGGGUACGUGGACACACUCUCCCCUCUCGUUGCUAUGCAUCACCAUGAUCUUGCGUGUGCGUAGGAAAUUUUUUGAAAUUACUACGUUACCCAAACAGUGGCAUCCGAGCCUGGUUUUAUGCGUAGAUGUCAUAUGCACGAGUAGAACACAAGUGAGUUGUGGGCGAUAUAAGUCAUACUGCUUACCAGCAUGUCAUACUUUGGUUCGGCAGUAUUGUUGGAUGAAGCGGCCCGGACUGACAUUACGCGUACGCUUAGCGAGACUGGUUCUACCGACGUGCUUUGCACACAGGUGGCUGGCGGGUGUCAGUUUCUCCAACUUUAGUUGAACCGAGUGUGGCUACGCCCGGUCCUUGCGAAGGUUAAAACAACACCAACUUGACAAACUAUCGUUGUGGUUUUGAUGCGUAGGUAAGAACGGUUCUUGCUAAGCCCGUAACAGCCACGUAAAAUUUGCAACAACAAAGUAGAGGACAUCUAACUUGUUUUUUGCAGGGCAUGUUGUGAUGUGAUAUGGUCAAGGCAUGAUGCUAAAUUUUAUUGUAUGAGAUGAUCAUGUUUUGUAACCGAGUUAUCGGCAACUGGCAGGAGCCAUAUGGUUGUCGCUUUAUUGUAUGCAAUGCAAUCGCCCUAUAAUGCUUUACUUUAUCACUAAGCGGUAGCGAUAGUCGUAGAAGCAUAAGAUUGGCGAGACGACAACGAUGCUACGAUGGAGAUCAAGGUGUCGCGCCGGUGACGAUGGUGGUCAUGACGGUGCUUCGGAGAUGGAGAUCACAAGCACAAGAUGAUGAUGGCCAUAUCAUAUCACUUAUAUUGAUUGCAUGUGAUGUUUAUCUUUUAUGCAUCUUAUCUUGCUUUGAUUGACGGUAGCAUUAUAAGAUGACCUCUCACUAAAUUAUCAAAGUAUAAGUGUUCUCCCUGAGUAUGCACCGUUGCGAAAGUUCUUCAUGCUGAGACACCACAUGAUGAUCGGGUGUGAUAGGCUCUACGUUCAAAUACAACGGGUGCAAAACAGUUGCACACGCGGAAUACUCAGGUUAAACUUGACGAGCCUAGCAUAUAACAGAUACGGCCUCGGAACACGGAGACCGAAAGGUCGAGCGUGAAUCAUAUAGUAGAUAUGAUCAACAUAGUGAUGUUCACCAUUGAAACUACUCCAUCUCACGUGAUGAUCGGACAUGGUUUAGUUGAUUUGGAUCACGUGAUCACUUAGAGGAUUGGAGGGAUGUCUAUCUAAGUGGGAGUUCUUAAGUAAUAUGAUUAAUUGAACUUAAAUUUAUCAUGAACUUAGUACCUGAAAGUAUUUUGCUUGUCUAUGUUGAUUGUAGAUAGAUGGCCCGUGCUGUUGUUCCGUUGAAUUUUAAUGCGUUCCUUGAGAAAGCAAAGUUGAAAUAUGAUGAUAGCAAUUACAUGGACUGGGUCCGUAACUUGAGGAUGAUCCUCAUUGCUGCACAGAAGAAUUACGUCCUGGAAGCACCGCUGGGUGCCAGACCUGUUGCAGGAGCAACACCAGAUGUUAUGAACGUCUGACAGAGCAAAGCUGAUGACUACUCGAUAGUUUAGUGUGACAUGCUUUACGGCUUAGAACCGGGUCUUCAACGAUGUUUUGAACGUCAUGGAGCAUAUGAGAUGUUCCAGGAGUUGAAGUUAAUAUUUCAAGCAAAUGCCCGGAUUGAGAGAUAUGAAGUCUACAAUAAGUUCUACAGCUGUAAGAUGGAGGAGAAUAGUUCUGUCAGUGAGCAUAUACUCAAAAUGUCUGGGUAUAACAAUCACUUGAUUCAACUGGGAGUUAAUCUUCUGGAUGAUAGCAUCAUUGACAGAAUUCUUCAAUCACUGCCACCAAGCUACAAGAGCUUCGUGAUGAACUAUAACAUGCAAGGGAUGGAUAGGACGAUUCCCGAGCUCUUCGCAAUGCUAAAGGCUGCAGAGGUAGAAAUCAAGAAGGAGCAUCAAGUGUUGAUGGUCGAUAAGACCACCAGUUUCAAGAAAAAGGGCAAAGGGAAGAAGAAGGGGAACUUCAAGAAGAACAGCAAGCAAGUUGCUGCUCAAGAGAAGAAACCCAAGUCUGGACCUAAGCCUGAGACUGAGUGCUUCUACUGCAAGAAGACUGGUCACUAGAAGCGGAACUGCCCCAAGUAUUUGGCGGAUAAGAAGGAUGGCAAGGUGAACAAAGGUAUAUGUGAUAUACAUGUUAUUGAUGUGUACCUUACUAAUGCUCGCAGUAGCACCUGGGGUAUUUGAUAGUGGUUCUGUUGCUAAUAUUUGCAACUCGAAACAGGGACUACGGAUUAAGCGAAGAUUGGCUAAGGACGAGGUGACGAUGCGCGUGGGAAAUGGUUCCAAAGUCGAUGUGAUCGCGGUCGGCACGCUACCUCUACAUCUACCUUCGGGAUUAGUUUUAGACCUGAAAAAUUGUUAUUUGGUGCCAGCGUUGAGCAUGAACAUUAUAUCUGGAUCUUGUUUGAUGCGAGACGUUUAUUCAUUUAAAUCAGAGAAUAAUGGUUGUUCUAUUUAUAUGAGUAAUAUCUUUUAUGGUCAUGCACCCUUGAAGAGUGGUCUAUUUUUGUUGAAUCUCGAUAGUAGUGAUACACAUAUUCAUAAUAUUGAAGCCAAAAGAUGCAGAGUUGAUAAUGAUAGUGCAACUUAUUUGUGGACUGCCGUUUAGGUCAUAUCGGUGUAAAGCGCAUGAAGAAACUCCAUACUGAUGGACUUUUGGAACCACUUGAUUAUGAAUCACUUGGUACUUGCGAACCGUGCCUCAUGGGCAACAUGACUAAAACGCCGUUCUCCGGUACUAUGGAGCGAGCAACAGAUUUAUUGGAAAUCAUACAUACAGAUGUAUGUGGUCCGAUGAAUAUUGAGGCUCGUGGCGGAUAUCGUUAUUUUUCCACCUUCACAGAUGAUUUGAGCAGAUAUGGGUAUAUCUACUUGAUGAAACAUAAGUCUGAAACAUUUGAAAAGUUCAAAGAAUUUCAGAGUGAAGUUGAAAAUCAUCGUAACAAGAAAAUAAAGUUUCUACGAUCUGAUCGUGGAGGAGAAUAUUUGAGUUACGAGUUUGGUCUUCAUUUGAAAUAAUGCGGAAUAGUUUCGCAGCGCACGCCACCCGGAACACCACAGCGUAAUGGCGUGUCCGAACGUCGUAAUCGUACUUUACUUGAUAUGCUGCAAUCUAUGAUGUCUCUUACUGAUUUACCGCUAUUGUUUUGGGGUUAUGCUUUAGAGAUGGCUGCAUUCACGUUAAAUAGGACACCAUCGAAAUCCGUUGAGACGACGCCUUAUGAACUGUGGUUUGGCAAGAAACCAAAGUUGACGUUUCUUAAAGUUUGGGGCUGCAAUGCUUAUGUGAAAAAGCUUCAACCUGAUAAGCUCGAACCCAAAUCGGAGAAAUGUGUCUUCAUAGGAUACCCAAAGGAGACUGUUGGGUACACCUUCUAUCACAAAUCCGAAGGCAAGACUUUUGUUGCUAAAUUUGGAAUAUUUCUAGAGAAUGAGUUUCUCUCGAAAGAAGUGAAUGGGAGGAAAGUAGAACUUGAUGAGGUAACUGUACCUGCUCCCUUAUUGGAAAGUAGUUCAUCACAGAAACCGGUUCUUGUGGCACCUACACCAAUUAGUGAGGACGUUAAUGAUGAUGAUCAUGAAACUUCAGAUCAAGUUGUUACUGAACCUCAUAGGUCAACCAGAGUAAGAUCCGCACCAGAGUGGUACGGUAAUCCUGUUCUGGAAGUUAUGUUACUAGACCAUGACGAACCUACGAACUAUGAAGAAGCGAUGGUGAGCCCAGAUUCCGCAAAAUGGCUUGAGUCCAUGAAAUCUGAGAUGGGAUCCAUGUAUGAGAACAAAGUGUGGACUUUGGUUGACUUGCCCGAUGAUCGGCAAGCCAUUGAGAAUAAAUGGAUCUUCAAGAAGAAGACUGACGCUGACGGUAAUGUUACUGUCUAUAAAGCUCGACUUGUUGCAAAAGGUUUUCGACAAGUUCAAGGGGUUGGCUACGAUGAGACCUUCUCACCCGUAGCGAUGCUUAAGUCUGUCUAAAUCAUUUUAGCAAUUGCCGCAUUUUAUGAUUAUGAAAUUUGGCAAAUGGAUGUAGAAACUGCAUUCCUGAAUGGAUUUCUGGAAGAAGAGUUGUAUAUGAUGCAACCUGAAGGUUUUAUCAAUCCAAAGGAUGCUAACAAAGUGUGCAAGCUCCAGCGAUCCAUUUAUGGACUGGUGCAAGCAUCUCGGAGUUGGAAUAAACGUUUUGAUAGUGUGAUCAAAGCAUAUGGUUUUAUACAGACUUUUGGAGAAGCCUGUAUUUACAAGAAAGUGAGUGGGAGCUCUGUAGCAUUUCUAAUAUUAUAUGUGGAUGACAUAUUGCUGAUUGGAAAUGAUAUAGAAUUUCUGAAUAGCGUAAAACGAUACUUGAAUAAAAGUUUUUCAAUGAAAGACCUCGGUGAAGCUGCUUAUAUAUUAGGCAUCAAGAUCUAUAGAGAUAGAUCAAGACGCUUAAUUGGACUUCACAAAGCACAUACCUUGAUAAAGUUUUGAACAAGUUCAAAAUGGAUCAAGCAAAGAAAGGGUUCUUGCCUGUGUUACAAGGUGUGAAGUUGAGUAAGACUCAAUGCCCGACCACUGCAGAAGAUAGAGAGAAGAUGAAAUAUGUUCCCUAUGCUUCAGCCAUAGGCUCUAUCAUGUAUGCAAUGCUGUGUACCAGACCUGAUGUGUGCCUUGCUAUAAGUUUAGCAGGGAGGUACCAAAGUAAUCCAGGAGUGGAUCACUGGACAGCGGUCAAGAACAUCCUGAAAUACCUGAAAAGAACUAAGGAUAUGUUUCUCGUUUAUGGAGGUGACAAAGAGCUCAUCGUAAAUGGUUACGUUGAUGCAAGCUUUGACACUGAUCCGGACGAUUCUAAAUCGCAAACCGGAUACAUGUUUACAUUGAACGGUGGAGCUGUCAGUUGGUGCAGUUCUAAACAAAGCGUCGUGGCGAGAUCUACGUGUGAAGCGGAGUACAUAGCUGCUUCGGAAGCAGCAAAUGAAGGAGUCUGGAUGAAGGAGUUCAUAUCCGAUCUAGGUGUCAUACCUAGUGCAUCGGGUCCAAUGAAAAUCUUUUGUGACAAUACUGGUGCAAUUGCCUUGGCGAAGGAAUCCAGAUUUCACAAGAGAACCAAGCACAUCAAAAGACGCUUCAAUUCCAUCCGGGAUCUAGUCCAGGUCGGAGACAUAAAAAUUUGCAAGAUACAUACGGAUCUGAAUGUUGCAGACCCGUUGACUAAGCCUCUUCCACGAGCAAAACAUGAUCAGCACCAAGGCUCCAUGGGUGUUAGAAUCAUUACUGUGUAAUCUAGAUUAUUGACUCUAGUGCAAGUGGGAGACUGAAGGAAAUAUGCCCUAGAGGCAAUAAUAAAGUUAUUAUUUAUUUCCUUAUAUCAUGAUAAAUGUUUAUUAUUCAUGCUAGAAUUGUAUUAACCGGAAAUAUAAUACUUGUGUGAAUACAUAGACAAACAGAGUGUCACUAGUAUGCCUCUACUUGACUAGCUCGUUGAUCAAAGAUGGUUAAGUUUCCUAGCCAUUGACACGAGUUGUCAUUUGAUUAAUGGGAUCACAUCAUUAGGAGAAUGAUCUGCUUGACUUGACCCAUUCCGUUAGCUUAGCACACGAUCGUUUAGUAUUCCGCUAUUGCUUUCUUCAUGACUUAUACAUGUUCCUAUGACUAUGAGAUUAUGCAACUCCCGUUUACCGGAGGAACACUUUGUGUGCUACCAAACGUCACAACGUAACUGGGUGAUUAUAAAGGUGCUCUACAGGUGUCUCCGAAGGUACUUGUUGGGUUGGCGUAUUUCAAGAUUAGGAUUUGUCACUCCGAUUGUCGGAGAGGUAUCUCUGGGCCCACUCGGUAAUGCACAUCACUUAAGCCUUGCAAGCAUUGCAACUAAUGAGUUAGUUGCGGAAUGAUGUAUUAUAGAACGAGUAAAGAGACUUGUCGGUAACGAGAUUGAACUAGGUAUUGAGAUACCGACGAUCGAAUCUCGGGCAAGUAACAUACCGAUGACAAAGGGAACAACGUAUGUUGUUAUGCCGUCUGACCGAUAAAGAUCUUCGUAGAAUAUGUGAGAGCCAAUAUGAGCAUCCAGGUUCCGCUAUUGGUUAUUGACCGGAGACGUGUCUCGGUCAUGUCUACAUAGUUCUCGAACCCGUAGGGUCCGCACGCUUAAAGUUUCGAUGACAGUUAUAUUAUGACUUUAUAUGUUUUGAUGUACCGAAGGUUGUUCAGAGUCCCGGAUGUGAUCACGGACAUGACGAGGAAUCUCGAAAUGGUCGAGACAUGAAGAUUGAUAAUUGGACGACUAUAUUCGGACACCGGAAUGGUUCCGGGGGUUAUCGGAUAUAUACCGGAGUACCGGGGGGUUACCGGAACCCCCGAGGGGGAUUAAUGGGCCUACAUGGGCCUUAGUGGAGAAGAGGAGGGGCGGCCAGGGCAGGUCGCGCGCCCCCUCCCCCUCUAGUCCGAAUUGGACAAGGAGGGGGGGCGGCGCCCCCCUUUCCUUCUUCUCCUCCUCUUUCCCCCCUUCUCCUAAUCCAACAAGGAGGGAGGGAGUCCUACUCCCGGUGGGAGUAGGACUCCUCCUGGCGCGCCCCUCUCCUGGCUGGCCGCCUGUCCCCCCUUGCUCCUUUAUAUACGGGGGCAGGGGGACACCCCAAAGACACAACAAUUGAUCAUUAAUCUUUUAGCCGUGUGCGGUGCCCCGUCCACCAUAGUCCACCUCGAUAAUAUCGUAGCGGUGCUUAGGCGAAGCUCUGCGUCGGUAGAACAUCAUCAUCGUCACCACGCCGUCGUGCUGACGAAACUCUCCCUCAACACUCGGCUGGAUCGGAGUUCGAGGGACGUCAUCGGGCUGAACGUGUGCUGAACUCGGAGGUGUCGUGCGUUCGGUACUUGAUCGGUCGGAUCGUGAAGACGUACGACUACAUCAACCGCGUUGUGCUAAUGCUUCCGCUUUCGGUCUACAAGGGUACGUGGACACACUCUCCCCUCUCGUUGCUAUGCAUCACCAUGAUCUUGCGUGUGCGUAGGAUUUUUUUUUGAAAUUACUACGUUACCCAAACAGAAUUCACAUAUUGAAUACCAAUACAAACUAUUAUAUCAUCUCGAUAAACUUGCGACACUAUGAUUUGCACAUAAAGAUGGCAAUGAAGCAGGGUUUGCAUAGGUAUACAAAUAAUGAACCAUGCACGUUUCGAGAAAGAUCUGUGUUAACCGUACAUGAAGAUACACAUAUCACAAAAUUGUGUCCAUAUCCAGUUAGGCUUCUCGAACUGGCUCUAGACGUCCAGGCUGACCGGCACCCCUCAUAUCCAGCCCAAAUUUUAGGUGGAUAUAAGGAGGCCCGGACGCGCUCGGGGGAGGUAUGGACGCGUUCGUCGCGUUGGAUUCGACAUGAAGGACCCAUCACAAAUUGCACCAAUUCCUCCCGCUCCGACCUUGUUGAGAGCUAUUUGCCUCUUCUCCCUCUCCCACCCAGUCCCUCGACUAGCCGCGCCGCCAACCUAGCUCUGCCGCCGUCUCGACCCCUCAACACCGCCACCACUGCCACCAACCUCCUCUCGUCCUUCUCGCCGCUCCGGACACCGCCGCGUUACAUCACACUAUUCUUGGACUACAACUUGCCCUCUAUGUGUUUGACAAUUGUCCUACCAAAAUGUUUUAUUCCUUUCUCGAAAAAUUAUGGAUUCUGAUGAUUUGUCGAAUGAGGAGUAUGGAAGGACGGAGCUUGAUGAGUUAAUGCAAAAGGAAUUGUUUGAUGCGUAUGAGUCAGACGAAGAUAUUGAGAUGUUGAUGAUCAUGAGCAUCCAGGAGGAAAUGUACAUGGAGGUGGAGCACAUUCUGAACUUCAAAGGUUCGAUCAAAGGGUGAAGAAUUUUGAGCUGGGACAGGGCCGCUAGAGUGCGGCUCCUCUACAAGGACUAGUUCCACCCCUUACGAACAUUCCCUGAUACAUGGCUUCGUCAAUGCUUCCGUAUGUGCAACCCCUUGUUAUUGCGUGUUGUGGAGGGAGUGGAGGCACAUGAUUCCUACUGCAAGCUCAUCAGGGAUUGAUGAAGACAACUCUUGUUUUCUGCUAAGCAGAAGUGCACGACUUCUAUGAUGAUGCUUGCACUAGGUCCCGCCGCUGAUGCCGUUGGUGAGAUGGUCCAGGCAGGGGAGAGCACAUGCUUGAAGACCGUUUUUAGAUUUGCACGCAUCAUGGUGCAGGUGUUUGGAGCAGAGUAUGUGAGAGAACCACAUGACAUAGAAAAGUUAAUGGCUAUUGGAGCGUCAAGAGGCUUUCCAGGUAUGAUCGGUUCUAUCGCAUGCAUUGACUCAAAGUUUUGCGUGGGAUGCACCAAGGUCACACCAAAGAGGCCACCAUCAUACUCAAAGCAGUGAUAUCAAAAAGACUUGUGGAUUUGGCAUGCUAUCGUUGACAUGCUUGAUUCUCACAAUGACAUCACUAUCCUCCAACGAUCUUCCGUGUUCAGGAGACUUUGCAAAUGGGGGAAGUGCCGCCGUACAGCUACACUGUCAACGGGCGCUGACUAUGAUAUGGGUACUCCCUUGCAAACAAUAUUUAUACUCAACAGGCGUUGUUUGUGAAGACCAUAUCUGAUCCCCAUGCCAACAAAUAGAGCCACUUUUGCAGGGAUGCAAAAACGAGAUAGGAAGGAUGCGGGGAGGGCAUUCAGAGUGCUCCAAACUCAUUAAGGAAUUGUUCAUCGAGCUGCAAUGACGUGGGAAUCCGAGACUUUGUGGCAAUUGAUGACAUGUUGUGUCAUUUUGCACAAUAUGAUUGUCGAGGACAAGGAUGAAGGGGCUAUCCGAACCCAUGAUUUUGAUAAACCCAGAGAACAAGUCCACAUCUUGUAUCCAGAUGCAGAUCAGAUUAUUAAUUUUCUGCAGAUACAUCAAAAUCUCCGAGAUGAACAGGUACACGUGCAGCUACUAAUGAUUUUGUGGAGCUAUGUGGAUCCACAGUGAAAACCUAGGAGAAAAUCAAGGAGUUUAAUGUUUGCAUCAUGCACUUCUCAAAUACAUUUUCUGUUUGAACUAUGUAUUUCAAAUAUGAACCAUGUUUAAAUUAUGAAAUUAUUUAACUCUGUUGUGAUAUUCUUAUGUUUGUAGAUGCUCUAAGCUGGAUGAAUUUAGCACACGGGGAAGGCAAAGGGGACAAAAGACUUUUUUGUCCUCGUACGCUGUAUACAGAAACGCGAGGGUGCGACGCGCAAAAGCACUGCUCUAGUAGAUUGCGGCCGGGGUGGGCCGGCCGAUCGCUCAUUCGGCUUUUCCGCCUCGCUGCCGCCGCCCAAAAUCCACCUGGGAAGAAGAAAAGAGGGGCCUCUUCUCUUCCUCUCUCGCGUCCGAUGGCCUCGAGCCCGGGCGUCGGCGGCGGAGGGGCGGACGGCGGCGGAGGGGAUGGACCGACGACGCUCGACGAGCUGUACCACAUCAACGUCGUGCCGGCCGAGCUGCACUUCAAGUUCCGCAAGGAGCUCCAGGGCCUCCGCGUGGGCCUCAACUUCGAGGUCAGUAACCCUGCUUAAACCCUAAUUCCCGAGUGUUGGGCUGCCCGUAGAUUUGUCCCCCAGUUAUUUCGCUCCAGUAGUCCAAUGUAUCUCGCAAGAUUCCGUUAGGCCAAACGUUGGUGGUAUGCGCCUACUUACUCUGCUGAUGUUGCUGCCUCCUUGCCCCUGGUGUACACUGGGACAGUAUCCACCCGCCCACAGUCUUGUCAGUUGGAGUUAUAGGGUUAUGCUGCCAAUUUGCCACAGUGGCCAUUGUCACUCUCUGUGAUGUGUGUAACCAGUUCACCUGUGAUCUGAGUGUCUAAUGCCAUAUAUCAUUUUCAGUUCUACAACCUAGAGGUGAAUGAUUUUGAGGCAAAGGUAGUUCUGAAGCCCCUGGACUUUGACCGGAAGUGGAAGUUCCAGUACAAGCCCAUCAGUGGUGACAUACAGCUGCUUUCCAAGAAGAUACCAGUCACAAAAUAUCUCAACCUUCAGGUUCUUUGCUUAAUUCAAUCUUUCUAUUCAUGUAUAUCGUUUAUGUGAGAGCAAGAAGUGAUUACAUAUUUGGCACGGCUUUGUGGUGAGGCAACUGCCAGCUAGUCCGCACUACUUCUUGCAAUAUGGCAUGUUAUGGCGCAAUUAGAUAUGUUAAAUUACCCAUGAAUGUACUAAUUAUAUUUUUGAUGAUUGGUAUUAGUUUUUCUCAUGGAAGACAUGCCAGUUUAUGCAUGCACUAGGUAUCUGCUUGCUUGAUGCAUGGAAUGAAUGUAAGCAGAAUUGAGAAAUGAGAAUAGAAGUUGGAUCAGUUCAUAUAUCAGUUUUGGAAUACUAAAAGAUUAUCAUCUUUAUGUACUUCUAUGAUGGUUCUGAUAAUGAAAUGUUAAAGACAAAUAUUUUUGUUACAACACUAUUAAACCUACUUGUUUUCUAUAGAAAGUGUUGCUUAUAUAUGUGACUGCUUUGAUCUGAGUAUUUUUCACUGGUAUACAUCAACUUUAUUACAAGAAACUAGAAGUGCUAUGUUGCCCUCUUUUGUGAUAUAGAGAUGUUCUUGGGUGUUGGUAAGGAUACAAUUUCCCUGCUCUAUGCGUUAGUUUGUAACAUCCAUGGGGAAAUAUGGCGCUUAGUCACACAUGCCAAAUUUUGGGUCACUAAAACGAUACUGUUUCUGGGGUUAUAACAGUAUCCUCUGGUGAUUACCGAUUGCUAUUUUCAUCAGUUUUCAAUCACCGCGGCAAAUUGGUCCUUCAAAAUGGUACACGAAAGAUUGUGCUGCAUUUCUUCAAAUGUAAACAUCAGGAUGAGACUUUACACCAUUUGACUUGGCAAGAAUGUCAGCUUUACCGUUACUUGGUUGCAAAUGACUUGUAAUCCCCAUCCGCAUAUAGCAAAUAUAGACGCUUUGCAUCCCUGGUACACCAGAUUAGGUGGCCGCACCACAUGGCCAAACUUGUGAAGGCCAAAGUUGAAGAGACAAAAUGCCCUUUUUUCAGAGUUCACUUCGAUUACAUGAGAUUUCUAAUAACAUUGGUAAUACAGGUCGGCAUUGGUCACAAUUUCCAACUGAAGGCAACUGGAUGGAAGUGGAAGCUCUCUACUUGCUUGGGGGGAGAUGGUGUUUCUCAGAUAAGAAACAAAUCAAAACUCAACGUGUUUCCAGGGUUUGAUCUGAGGCUCGGUUGGAAAGCUGAAUAUGUGCUUCCUGAGAUUCAUGGGUAAGUCUUGGUCAACACCAAAAUAUUCUUGCGAGACAUACUUGCAAUUGCAAGCAGGAUAUCACUACAAUUCAACUUAUUUUUAUAUUUGCUCUAUGCAGGGCUGUUGGCACAGGAGAACCUGCCUUCAGUAUGAACUAUGGACGAUUGCAAGCAUCCAUAGACCGGGUUGAGGCUAUUGUGACCCAAUCAGAUCGGCACUGAACCUCCUAGGAUGAGCAGACCAGGACGUUGAUGAUGUUAUGGUCGGCGAAGCAAGGGAGUUCUUUGGCUACAAUUUCCUCUGCAAAAUCCGAUGGUUUACUCAUGUCUUUUGAGGCUUUGCAUCUGAUGUACAGAAAUGAGCAAACAUUGUUUUACCAACAUAAAGGAGUAUUUUCGAGUUUAUCUGGACCGUUUUUCGUCGCUUUGUUUUGAAGAGCAUAAUGAAUAAUGCUCUUGCUGCUUGUAGUUGGCACAUAAAACUAGUUCGGGCUCUGAAUCUCAUAUUGCUAGCCACUACCAGAGUUCAGGCUCUGAAUCUCACCUUGCUCAUUAGAUUUCACGGCCGCAACGACCUAACUUGACUACCAACAUACACUGGCAGUACAUCUAAAAAAACGGCAAUAACCUAGGCUACAUCUGAUGGGGUGCUUGUACAUGUUGUAUUCUAACACAUUACCAUUCCAAAAUAACCGACUACACAGCUCGCAUAGAUAGACCUGUAUACCAAGGGAAAAAAGACUGCAAUGAUGUAUAUUAUCUUAACAAUCCUUCAUUCGCCGGUUCAAACAGUAUACUGCUAUAAAAAACAUUGUCUAUUUCGAUUACUAAGCUUCAUCCUGAUAAUGAUGACAAGGGUCAGUAAUUCAUUUGCUCUUGCGCUCAUUGUUGUAGUCAUCAAUCAGUCUCUCAAC
Molecule: long non-coding RNA, 61894 nt
Filed under: Triticum aestivum (bread wheat)
Lineage: Eukaryota; Viridiplantae; Streptophyta; Magnoliopsida; Poales; Poaceae
Source: RNAcentral